GCCUCCCAGCAGCCGCACGGGGGCGACUUGGGAGGGACCUUAAAAUUGGGGGAGAAUUCCACUUCCCCGGCCUCUGCACCAACUAGGGAUGCAUACGGCUAUUUUAGUAUGAGUACCAAGAUAAUCAUGGUCCUCAGAAUUUUUUAAAUGAGUAUCAAGAUAUUUUUUGAUAAGUGGUUCCACCACACAUCAAACUUGAUCCUCAAUAAAUGGGGGAAAACCCCUGUGCAUCACCUGUCAAUUCUAGGAAUUGAACUCGGGUCGUUAGGCUGCACAACCGCAUGCCCAACCACUGAGCCAAGGCUCUCUUUGCAAAAAUUGGGGGAGAAUUUCACUUCUCCGGCCUCUGCACCAACUAAGGAUGCAUACGGCCUUUUAAGUAUGAGUAUUAGGAUUUUCAGACUCGGUUACGCACCAAGCCUAGUUCUCAAUAAAUGCGUGAGUACCAGAAAAACCUGGUCCUUAAGAAUAAAAUGAAACCUAAAUUCGCCUCUGCGAGGAUUUGAACCCAGGUGCCGCUGCACGUGGAGCAACGGGGUGGACGACGCAUGCAGCCCGUCGCCCGUUGUCCGGUUUGCCAUCGCCACGCCCGCCAGCAUCCCGAGCCCCGCCGACGCGAUCACCAUGGGCGAAACCAUCUUCGCCGAAAAACCAAUCCAAGAAUCUCCCUUUUCUUGGUGCCCAAAUUGCUGGUGCUUGUUGCUUCCUUGCCGUAUGCACUUGCCUGGUGCUGGUAAGGAGGGGAAGAAGAGAUUUGGAUGGCUGUGUGUGGCCAGGAGGUUGUGCCAGUCUGUUGUUUUUGUGGACGUGGUGCGUCCAUUUAUAGGAUUUUUUGGGGGGUUGUAGGAAGGUGGGUGCUGGGAUAGUUUCGUUUAGCACUUUGGCGGGGAGCAGAGGCGAGGAAGGGAAGGCGUGCCCGCCUAGCUACCUUUGCUUGCCUGCUUGGUCUGCAUCCGUCGGCUACGCUGCUAUGCUUGUUGGGCCUUUCGAUCUCUGUUUCGUGUGUGCCGCGAGCUGCUUCGCUGCAGGUGUGUUUACUCCCCCCUUGCGAGUUCCUUUGCCUUUUCCACGCUACGGGACGAAUUCGGAGCUAGGCACAGGAUUUGUCGUCUGCAUUCUUAUGAGCUCCGUUAACGAUCUAGAUCAUGUAACUGGCCGAAGACUUGUAGACGAUUCUCUACAUUACUUGCAAGAUUUGGACCUGUUAGCUGGCGAAUAUUCGCCGGGGAGGAUGGCAUAUGCGGACGAUUUCGUGGCAGUUUUAGUUGUGAGGAAGUGGCGAGGGGUGGCAUCCUCGCUAGGCAACAUGGCAGUUUCUUUCCAGAAAGGCAAUUUUCAUUUAAAAACUGUCAUCUUUUGAUCUUUACUCGCAACUAAAACUGCAAUCAAAUGACGUUCGCACACACCAACUGUUCGUUGAAAUGUCUUUUUUACAAUUUAGUUUAUCAUUGAUGUUUCAUGUACUUGCUCUCGUAUUUAGUUCGAAGAUCAUAUAUUAAUGUGUGCUCACCUAGCGAACGGGCAUGUAGCCUAGUGGUUCAACGACCUUAGUAGCAUCCCAAGUCCUGGGUUCGACUCCCGGUGUGAGUGGAUUUGAACAGGCUUGGGCAAAAAUUUCUAGAAUAAAAGGACUGUGGGGCUGUUGCUCUACAGUAAAUAGUCAAACAAAAAUGUGUGCUCACCUACUCCUUUUUCAAAGACAAGACCGAGAAAAUAUUUAUGUCCUUAUUUCUACACCUUCUCACCUAAAUAUAACUAUUGGGAUCUCCAGUGACUGUAUAGGGUAAGAUGGGAGAACAUUGCAAACUUACAUUUAGUUAGAAAGUUAGACUCGACCAAGCAUCUCUUGGUUUGCACUACUAUAGAAACUAAAGCUUCUACAUAGGAUAGUUUAAAUGUUGGAAAUGAGGGGCGCUAGAAAAUAUUCUCUUUGAAUGAGCUCGCGAUUUGGGGAAGCACCUCAUUACCAUGGAAUCCAUUAUCAACUCGUUAGCACCAUCACAUUUUGAGCGAUAUCUUCUUGGCACAUAACCAUGCGAAACUAUCUACGUCUUCCCUGGUCGCGGGUGGUGAGUGCCAUCAAGAACGAUGAUGAUACUUUCUUCACUGGUGAGUUGGAGAUGAAGCUAGGAUUUGUAUUCUCUUAGGUUCUAUAUGCCAAUGAUACAGCCAUAUGUUCACCAAAUGUUUGAUUUACCUAGAAACAAUGAACUACUUUGCAUGUAUAAAAGGGAUACAUUUGCGAGAUAAUAAAGAACUAGUAAAUCAUAAUUAGGUGCUACCAUGUAAGGUACAAUAAAGUAAAAGAUGACAAGUGUAGAGUAGCAGUGGUAGGUGUUGCGGAAUUGUACCUAGGCAAUUGGCUAUGAUACUAGACCAAUAAACGUCAUUGUAGUUCAUAUAUUGGAGAGGCCUAUGCUAACAUGCAUGCAAAUCAAUUGAAUUAUAUUUAUUUAUGAUUUAAAUCCUUAGCAAGUAUCUGCAACUACUAAGAAUACAUUAAGGUAAAACCCAAUCGUAAUAUUUAGAUCUACGGGUCCUCUGUAUCCCAUAUGCAUCUACACCUAUACUCAGGCUCUGUAAUAUAUGUCACUUCGGCCACCCUAUGCACAGUUAUCUCAGCAUACUAUUGACCCUAAAACGUGAUCCUCAUACAUGCACACUCAUAUGAUGGGCACCAAAUGAUAUCAACAUAUCAACAUACAACUCAUAUCAAUCCAAAUAGAUCACCAAUCAACCGCGUGACAAAAAUAUUCUACUCAGACAUAUUACACUACUAGGGAAAACCCUAGCAGUAGCGCGGGUAUUUUGCCCAUCAGUAGCUGCUACCUCUUGAGCACUGCGUUGGUUUUUCCUUGAAGAGGAAAGGGUGAUGCAGUAAAGCAGCGUAAGUAUUUCCCUCAGUUUUUGAGAACCAAGGUAUCAAUCCAGUAGGAGGCCACGCACGAGUCCCUCGCACCUACACAAACAAACAAGAACCUCGCAACCAACGCGAUAAAGGGGUUGUCAAAUCCUUCACGGUCACUUACGAGAGUGAGAUCUCAUAGAGAUAAUAGGAUAAUAUUUUUGGUAUUUUUGUGAUAAAGAUGCAAAGUAAAAUAUACGGCAAGAGAAAUAACAAAGUAUUGGAAGAUUAAUAUGAUGGAAAAUAGACCCGGGGGCCAUAGGUUUCACUAGUGGCUUCUCUCAAGAUAGCAGAAGUAUUUGCGAUGGGUAAACAAAUUACUGUCGAACAAUUGAUAGAAUUGAGCAUAGUUAUGAGAAUAUCUAGAUAUGAUCAUGUAUAUAGGCAUCACGUCCGAGACAAGUUGACCAAAACGAUUCUGCAUCUACUACUAUUACUCCACGCAUCGACCGCUAUCCAGCAUGCAUCUGGAGUAUUAAGUUCAUGAAGAACAGAGUAACGCAUUAAGAAAGAUGACAUGAUGUAGAGGGAUAAACUCAUGCAAUAUGAUAUAAACCCCAUCUUUUUAUCCUCGAUGGCAACAAUACAAUACGUGCCUUGCUGCCCCUGCUGUCACUAGGAAAGGACACCGCAAGAUUGAACCCAAAGCUAAGCACUUCUCCCAUUGCAAGAAAGAUCAAUCUAGUAGGCCAAACCAAACUGAUAAUUCGAAGAGACUUGCAAAGAUAACCAAUCAUACAUAAAAUAAUUCAGAGGAGAUUCAAAUAUUGUUCAUAGCUAAUCUUGAUCAUAAACCCACAAUUCAUCGGAUCUCGACAAACACACCGCAAAAGAAGAUUACAUCGAAUAGAUCUCCACAAGGGAGGGGGAGAACAUUGUAUUGAGAUCCAAAAAGAGAGAAGAAGCCAUCUAGCUAAUAACUAUGGACCCGAAGGUCUGAGGUAAACUACUCACACUUCAUCGGAGAGGCCUUGGAGAUGAUAUAGAGGCCCUCCGUGAUCGAUGCCCCCUCCGGCGGAGCUCCGGAAAAUGCCCCAAGAUGGGAUCUCACGGGUACAGAAAGUUGCGGCGGUGGAAUUAGGUUUUUUGGCUCCGUAUCUGGUAGUUUGGGGGUAUGUAGGUAUAUAUAGGAGGAAGAAGUACGUCGGUGGAGCAACGAGGGGCCCACGAGGGUGGAGGGCGCGCCUGGGGGGGUAGGCGCGCCCCCCUACCUCGUGCCUUCCUCGUUCGUUGCUUUGCGCAGACUCCAAGUCCUGUGGAUCACGUUCGUUCAGAAAACCACGUUCCCGAAGGUUUCAUUCCGUUUGGACUCCGUUUGAUAUUCUUUUUCUGCGAAACACUGAAACGGACAAAAAACAGCAAUUCUGGGCUGGGCCUCCGGUUAAUAGGUUAGUCCCAAAAGAUAUAUAAAAGUGUAUAAUAAAGCCCAAUAAUGUCCAAAACAGAAUAUAAUAUAGCAUGGAACAAUCAAAAAUUAUAGAUACGUUGGAGACGUAUCAGUAGCGCGGGACGUCGCGCUACUGAUAAGGCGCUACAGCUAACAUGUAGCAGUAGCGCAUGUCGUCCCACGCUACUGCUAUACAUGGAUAGCAGUAGCGCGCUUUAGUGAAGAGCACUGCUGCUAAUAUCUGCAGCGCUUUUCAGAAGGAAGCGCUUCUAGUAAGGCAGCGCUACUGCUAACUUUGUUCCCCUCGCUACUGCUAGUUUUAUUAGUUUUUUAUGCAUAUUUGUUUUAUAUUUGAAUAGGCUUUAUACAAUAAUCUUUAGCAUAUCAUACACAUACAAAUGUAAUCAUAGCAUAUACAUACAAUUAGUCUCAUCAAAUCAUGUCAUCAUCAUAAUCAUCAUCCAACACAAAGUGGUCUCUCGUCAUCAUCUCGAAAAUAGCGAUACAAGUCUCGAUUACUUGCAACUACAUCGUCAUCCAUCUAAACAAUGAUAUACGCGAGAAGAGCUAUCACUUUGAGUGAGAGGGGAACUAUGCAGUACAUGAGUUCGUAUCCCUCUCUCGCAUUAGCGUGAACCUGAACAAACUACUGCCUAUCGCUCGGAAACCGGUACACCUGGGCCUGAAACUCCGCCCACUCGUCGUAUAUAUAUACUCUUGGCGUAGCACUUCUUCCUCAUUGAUGAUAUAUGCACCUGCAUUAUCACAUGAGUCGAUGAUAUGCAACAUAUAUAGUUGAGCAACAGAAAGAGACAGACUUGGCAAAAAUAGAAGCAACAUAUCAUAAACAUAAAUAACAAAGUUGAUCGUACCCAAAAUGCCCUAACUAGAGUGAUUGUCGCUAGUCGAGGAGGACGGUUUAAUUACAUCACAACUAAAGUUUCGUCGUGCAUAACUCAAUGUUUUGUCAUACAGAAAGUAUGGACUAAACGGACACAUUGUCAUAUAUCGACAAUCACUCCAACAUGUCCUGCCAUCCAUCCAAGUCAGGGAGAUAGUCCCCGAGCCUAGUGAAAGGCUUCAGGUCGAGACGCUAAGAGGCUACCCGUGUUCGGACGUCUUCCCGCGACAUUUGUCCUUCUUCGUAGAACAUCCCUGUUUUUCUAACGACCUCCUUCAUGAUGAUUUGGGCAAGUUCGUGCUGGAUGUGAUAGAACUCAGCUUGAAGUCGAUGAUCCUCGAUAUCUCCUACGUUCUUUGCCCAUUGCGGAAUAUGGGCAUCGCCGGAUGUAGGUGACAUGCGAAGGUUCUGGUGAUCCCGUCUGUACUCCAGCAUGUGGUGUAGGACAUAGAAUCCAUCAUUAAGAGAAUCACCCGGUUGCUGGAUGCAGCAGAAGUCGGUCUUAUGGCCGAAGGCGGGCCUGCCGCCCCUUCUCUUCUUGUCCUUGACCUCUCCACCCCGUGCAUCAUAGUAAAACAUAGCACUUUCGAGAACAUCCUUGAUGUGGCUGUAAUCCUUUUUGUUAAUGUUCUUCGAUGAGUCCAAGUAAAGAGCGUGGGAGUAUCGGGGGUAGAAGAUGAUGAGGACGACACGCCCGCCGCUGCGCAAAAUAAGUACACCUCAAAUUAAUUAGCCUCCACCAUGCAAAUGAAUGGUUGAAAUCGAAGGAAGGAUAUCUGCGCGGAUGACUUACAGGGGAUGAUAAGGCACGAGAAUCGCCUCCUUGUCCUUAUUGGCGAGCAUGAAAUUGACGAUGUAUUCCCUCGCGUAUUCACGGUGCUUUACGCAGACUCCCAAGAAGCCCUCGUGCAUGAACUACGGGUCAGCGACACAGAUAUGAGGUAUCUGCUCAACCCCGAUGAUGUAGUUCAUGUGCAAGGCAUAAAGGCGGACAAACGUAAAAUCCAGCUUCUUCACGUGAAACAUGUCGAAUAUGUAAUCGAAUCGAAGGAAGAACUUCUCCGCGGGGAAUGUGUCGACGUACGACAAUUGCCGCGGACGUUAACCACGUAGAGUGGGUAUCCUGGAUUUUUCGAGGCGAUGAGGCCUUUCUCUAUCCGCAGCACAUCAUCAUGAAGUCUCCUUAGAUCGCCGAAUCUGGCCCCUAGCGCUGCUGCAGGUAGGAUUGGUUGACCGGGGAUAUGCCAUUUAUCCGCACCGGGGAUAUCUAUACGGUCUUGAACCCGAGGCUGCUGAGGCGGCUGGAUCAUAGAAUCAGAUUUUUUGCCUUUCCUCGGUCUCUUCCUAGACUUCUUUACUACCGGAAGGUCGUCCAUAAUAUAUUUAGCCUCCGGAGACGGCAAUUCAGGCACCGACUCAUGACGCUCAAACCCUAAGUAGGCGCCAGUAUAGACAUACUGUUGAGUGCCAUCGUCAUCCUCAUCCUCAUCUAUGGCGACGUCACCAGCGACUAAUGGAGCCUUUUCCUCACCCCCUCCGCUAUCACCCAGCACGACAGCCGACGCAAAUUGGGUAGGUGAGGUGUUGAUGUUCAUACCUAACUGUGUGCUCGUGGGUGUGCUCCCAACCGCCUCUAGACGAAGGAGACUCUUUGGACACAACGGGACCCACCCAUUGCAACAAUCACCAAGCCGCCGCGGGGUCACGUCGUCAUCCCCCACUAGUACUAGAGGAGGCAAAUUCUCGUGGCCCGGUUUGACACUCGCCACGGAAACCUUGAAGAAAUUCGGGGGGAUCGGCCCUCUGUGGAACAAUGGUUCCUUCGGCUUCAUUAUCGUCGCCUUCCCCACGUCCACCUUCUGGUUGCCGAUGGUGUACAAUAUGGUGCACGGGGUUUCGUCGGCCUGCAAAGAAAAGUCUGCGACGUGAGACAUCCGAAAGGCAACGAAAACGGGAGAUUAUACAUUUAUUGAAGGGGGCCAGUGUGACAGAUACCGUGAGGGCGUCGAGCUCAGCCAAAGACGAAGCUCCGCCGAGCACGUCUGGUGCCGGAGCCGGUGCGGGAGCAGGUGCAGCUGCAGGUGCUGGUGCAACGCUAGUCGAGCUGCUCCCCAAGAAGUCAGCAAGGGGAAAGUCCGCUGCUUUUUUUCUGGAUUUUGCCUGGUCCAACUGAAAACGGCCGGAACCAAGGAAGUAGACAUAUCUACAACCACCUAUUUUGCGGCAGCUACCGCUGUUGCGACUGUCUGAGAUGAUUUUUUCUCAACCGCAAUCUCAACCUUCUUGUCGAUGUUUUCUUCAGUUAACCUCCGUCUUUCCUUUCUCUCCUCCAUGGUCUCACGGUAGUACUUCUUCCAUGUGGCGCCGUCUCCGACACCGUGCACGCGUCCAUACGACGGUCGAGUCUCCACCGGGAGUCGUUUCACUAUGUUCAACGCCUGGUUGAAUGGAGUGUCCCACUUGGGCCUCGCCAACGCCUUAGACGGCGAGUCGCUUUCGGUCGCAAUCCUGUGCUGCUCUCUCUGCAAAAGGCACAAGCAUCGUUUACAAAUAUGACUAACGUGCAGUCGAAUUGAUUAGAAACUAAAAUUACCAGCAGUCUCAUGAACUCCAUCGUGACCGCGUUCGUCUCGAAAACCUUCUUCACUGGGUCCCAACGGUGCCGGGCCCUGAGGACGUCACACUCCCGCGGGACGGUGAACUCCGCCAAGGGGUCUGGGAUGCCCAGACUCGCGGCUUCCGCGUCCUCCUUGGCCCAUAUGGACCACUUCCCGCCGUAACCACGGCUUCCGAGGUGGUGGCACCCAAUGUUCCUCUGUUGAAGCCCCUUCAUGUACUUCGAUUUUUUUGGCAGCUUCGGCCAUGCAAGCCGCCUUGAAUAUUUCAAUGUGCUCUGCCGUGAUUGUCGGAUUAUCCUUUACAAUCUCGGAGUAGGGUUCCUUUUUGUCGAUGAUCCUUCUUUCACCCUUGUUUUCCAGGCGGCCAACGCGUCGCUAACCUUGGUCAUGGCAUGUUUGUGUAUCUUCUUCAUUGCCGGGUCCUUUUCUGGAUCUUUAUAAUCCUUUUCAUUCCGGCCCAGGAACAAGAAUAUCUGGUGCAGCUUCUUUAGGAGGGAGGGCCUCAUAUUAUCUAUCUUCUGUAGUUUCUCAUCGUUGAUGGUGGCGGUUGUCCGUACGAUGCAACCUAUUUGAUUGCCGUAGCACGCGCGCGCUUCCUCGGGCGCUUUUGGCUCAAAAUUGCCAUCGUCCACCUCCGUGACCACCAGUCUAGUAGUACUGAGCUUGUUAGGAAGCCGUUGCCUCUUUGCUUUCGAUUCUACACUGGCUCCGCUAGUCUCGGCGCCGGUCUCAGUCUGAGCGCCGGUCUCGAUGCCGGUCUCAGUCUCAGCGCCGGUCUCAGUCUCAGCACCGGUCUCAGUCUCAGCACCGGUCCGCGUGUCGGUCUCAGUCCCUGAUGCCAUCGGUGGGCCCAGCAACAACAUCGGUUGAUCGUCGGCAAGGCUCAAAAAUUCAUCUGCCGCCAGGUAGAAGUCGUCGCAAUCACCAGAACCUUGUCCUUCAUCGUUGCUAGCCAUGUUUCCUAUGAUUAAAUCUAGUCAAUUAAUUCUAGACCUAAUAAAAUGAAUAAUGACAUAAAAGGACUAUGUUUUGCAGGAACGUUGACUCCUUCCCGGUGCGGCAAAUCCCGGGCACUCGAUAUGUCCUAGUUUGUAGCACAAGUCAUGCCGAAAUUCACGGAAAAUUUCGGCAUGACCUUUGCUAAAAAGUGGACAAAUCGAGAACCUGAAAUUUGCCGGAACGGAAAUGAAUCAACAUUCCGGCAAAACAUAAGCCACUCAGCUUCACUCCCUAGAAAUAACAAAAGGCCACUUGGGCACAAUUGAACCACUUCAAUGAAAAGAUAUAACAUGACCACUACAAUGAAAAGAUAUAAUCAACAAUAAAAGUCUAGGAAGGGAUCAUCUUUAAAAUAAAACUUGCCUAAAUUCUUUUCCUAGAAAAAUAGUGGUCGAAAAUAAAUUUUUCCUCUAACCUAGUUAACGUAGCUUGUUAACCUAACAAACCAAAUUAACCUAGCUAGUUAGUUAACCUAGCUUGUUAACCUAGUUUACCUAGAUAAUUAACCUAAUUAAACUAGUUAACCCAACUAGUUCUCUGUCAAAGCCCUAAUUUUUUUUUCUUAACCUGGAUAAUUAACCUAAUUAAACUAGUUAACCUAACUAGUUCUCUGUGAAAGCCCUAACUACAUUUUUGCACUAACCUAGAAAAUUAACCUAAUUAAAGAAGUUAACCUAGCUAGUUAGUAUGUCCAGUUUGUGCUAUGCAUCAGAGAGAGAGAGAGAGAGGAGGGGUGCUUACAGACGAUGGCUCCGGUGGUGGCGAGGGAGGCAGGGGCGUCUCCGAUGACGGCGAGGGAGGCUGUUGUGGCGAGGGAGGUAGGGGCGUCUCCGGUGACGGCGAGGGAGGCUGUUGUGGCGAGGGAGGCAGGGGCGUCGAGGGUGGCUCCGGUGGCGCCGAGGGCGGCUCCGGUGGCGUUGAUGAGGCCGAGCGGCUCCGGUGGCGUUGGGAGCGGCUCUGGUGGCGUCGACAGCGCGCAGCUCUGGUGGAUCCGGGGGCGUCGACGUCGGCAGGAGACGCCGACGAAGUGGGGCGACGGCGAAUUGGGGACACGGUGGCAAAGUGGGGGCGAGGGAUUUGGGGGAGAAGUGGUGGUCGGGUGGAGGGAAAACCGCUGGUUAAGUGAAACAUAGCGGUAACGCGUUAAAGGAAACGCGCUAUAGCUAAGCCUGUCUCUUUUUUCCCUUUCUCAUCUAUUUUUCUUUACAUUUUAUUUGUCCUUUGUCCUUUUUCUAUUUCUUUCAUUUUCAUUUACUUUUGUAUUUGUUGUUCGAUUUAUUUUCUUUUCGUUAGCAGUAGCGCAUUUCUGCGUAAACGCGCUGCUACAAUAGAUAUAGCAGUAGCGCGGUUAAAAUGAGAACGCUACUACUAUGUGUAGCUUAUCGGCUUAGUCGUGAGAAUUUUAGUUGUAGCGCGUUUAUAGUUAGGCGCGCUACUGCUACGUUUGUAUCUGUAGCGCCGUUAUCCUGCACGCGCUACUGCUACUUAGCACUAGAGCCCUUUUUUAACAACCGCUACUGCUAAAGUUCUGUGUAUAAGGUUUUCCCCAGUAGUGUUAGAACGCAACAAAUUGCCAGGGAAUAAUUUAUAGCAAAAAAAAUGUUCAAGUAGGGAAUUGGGUGGAGAUGGCAACAGAGAUGGUGGUGAAGCUGAUGUAGGCGAUGUCGGUGAUGGUGGUUCCCCUAGCGACACUUCGACGCCGCCGGAAGAGAGGGGGAGAGAGGCCCCUCCUCCUCCUUCUUCUUCUUCCAUGGCCUCCACCCUAGGUAUGGAGAGGUUUCUUCCUCUAGUCCAUGGUGUUCAUGGCCCCCGAAGGGCAAGAGCCCAAAUGAGAUUGGACCUCUUUGAUAGUCAUUUUUCUAGAAUUUCUCUCUCCUGAAAUCUGAGUCCAAUCCGUUUUAUCGACCACAGGAGUUCUGUAACUUCGAUAAAUGUAAAAAACAAUAGGGCGGUAGUGAAACUUCUGGAGCAAGUCUGCAGCUAAAGGGCACCUCCAACCGACCUAAGGGGUGACCAUGCGAUAGGAGCUCCCCCGGGUGGGAGCUAGGGACGUGUGGUGGGCCUAUGGGUCCCCUCCAGGUGUGUGCAUGCCCCUUGUGCUUCUUUUGGUGCAAAACUGAUCAUUUUUUCCGCUCUUUAAACCGAUUUCAUGAAAAGCCCCAAAACACUAGAAAACAGGAGCUGGCCUUUGACACUAGAUUAAUAUGUUACUUCAAUAAAAAAGGUUAUAAAAUUAUGCCAAGAGUGUAUAAAUUAUGGUAAUAUAGCACGAACAUAAAAAUUAUAAAUACGUCAGAAACGUAUUGUCUCCCGCCAUCCCUAUGCAUGCAUCCCCGCAUAUGUCGUAUCUCCCUUGCGCUUGCCUCAGGUUGGCUCCACAGAAACAACCGACUAGAGUGUUCCUAGCAAGCUAGGCGCUAGGGUGAUUUAAGUUUCGUGCGUGUGUGGGCCAGCGACUCGUGUGAGCAACCAAUUUGUUUAUCUGCUAGGCCUUUUUUGGGAGGGGGGAGGGGCCGCAAGGAACCCAGCACGCCCUAUUGCUACUCCAUUGCAUUACCAUGUAGUAGUUCCAUGGGACCAACUGGUGACUCAGUAGAAGCCCAUACACAUGAUGUAAGACAAAUAAAUGAUGCAAGGACAUCUCCCCUGUUGUUAAUAUACAUUAUUGCUAGAUGGAGACAGUAAUAUUUAAAUAAUGCAUGUUUUGUUAAUUCUCUUUUGUAACACACCCUUGAUUGAAAAUGUCCAUGCAUGCUUUAGUUAUUAGUAUAGUUGGUUUCACGGUUAGGCAAGAAUGGUAAAGAACACCACAAGGCCAUGAACUGGUAAUGUUAAUAUUACUAUGAAACUAUUAGAGUUCCCUAAAAAAAGAAGUAUUGGAGUACUAAUUCUUUUUCUACAAUUAAAAUUAAUAUAUUAUCAUUAAUGCCUCACGUACUUGCUCUGGUAUUUAGUCACAACAUCAUAUAUUAAUUCACGCUCACCUACUCCUUCUUCAAAGACACAGAUGGAGAAAAUAUUUAUGUCCUUAUUUUGCACACAUUCUAACAUACAUAUAAGUAUUGUGACCUCCAUUGGCUGGAUAGGGUAAGAUGGGAGCACAUUGCAAAGUUAGAUCUAGUUAGAAAGGUAGAGCCGGCCAAGUAUCUCCUAGUUUGCACUACUAGAGAAACUAAAGCUUCUACAUAUGAUGGUUUAGAACAAAUGUUGGGAAUGAGGGGAGCCAGAAAAUAUUCUCUUUGGAUGAGCCCAUGAUAUGGGGAAGCACCUCCUAAUCAUGAAAUCCAUUAUCAACUCGUCACAGAAUAGUCUUAGCAUCAUCACUUUAUGCGUGAUAUGUUAUUGGCAUGUAACCAUUCUGAACUAUCUAUGUCUUCCCUCGAUGCGGGUGGUGAGUCUUCCCUGGUUGCGGGUGGUGAGUGCCAUCAAGAAGAUGAUGAUAACUUCUCCGCUCGUGAGUUGGAGCUCUUUUACAUCACUCUAUUGCUCCUCAACCCUAGAUAUGAGUACCAAGCCAUUUUGACCAUCCAUACGUAAGGGUAACUUGGUCAUUUUCGACAGGUUAUAUUAGAAUUUCAUGUUAUUCCAAUAUAUGCCACUAAUCCACAUGUGCCCCUAAACAAAUUAAUAGCUUGCAAUUGUUUGCCCCUGUGUAGCAUCGAUUGACUAGUGCUUCCAAUGCCAAUGUCGAGCCACCACCAUCCUUCAUCAGCAUUGACUCGCAUCACGGCCACUCUAAAUCAAGUGCAUGCAAAUAUUUAGGGAGAAUGCAUGCGUAUUUGCUUUACUUACAUAACAGAAGUAAAGGAGGGCAACAAUUUCUGCUAUGACACCGAAAAAUCCAGUACCUGAAAGUGCCUCUGAAGAAAAUCAUCUCCAAGAAUGAUACAAAAAGUAUGAUGUGCGGUUUUCUAAUAUAUUUACUUAAUGCAAAAUGAAGAUGACAUGGACAUUGCUUCAGUUGACAAUCUGCACACUCUAUCAUGCAUGAGCUUAUAGUUAUUGUAGUUUUCUGAAGGAGAGGCUUUGCCUAAGCUUGUAGAUAUAGUACGAUUGAACCAAUAUUGCAACAAGAGAACUAAUGAAUCAAGACGUUCGAAAUGGAUUAUCUGAUUGUAGUGAAUUGCAUGUUAACAUGAAAGUUUUCAUUUAUUGUUUUCACAGUAGAAUUUUUUUUAAUAUUUUUCUCCAAUAUGAAGAGGAUCUGUGCAUCCUUGUAUAAUGCAAAAAGCCAGAGUAGCAAAGAUUUCUAUCGUAUUCAAUAUUCUAGAAUGUGUUCUAUUCGGCACUUGAUUUUUACAUGCUAUGUGAUUUCCCACAAAAAAGAAAACAUAUAGUUAAAUAAAGAACAUGUUAUACGGUUUUGUUCACACCAUUAUUUGCCAUUUCACUUAAUCAUAUUGAUCUGGUGUUCAAAUAAAUAAAUUUUAUAGCACAUGGUAUACUAUCAUUUGGAUGCUAGAAAUUGUAAGAUGUAUGUAGCAUGUGUGUACGAAAUUGUGCAUUGUAUGUGAAAGAUGUAUGAAUUAUGCAAUGUGUAUGAAAUCUAUAUUGUGAAAUGUAUCUUGUGAUGUCCAUGUUUGACUCAAGGUACGUGUUGCGCAUUUUGCAAGCUAUCAUUGCGUGAAUGGCAUCAUAUCCAGUUGGACCUCACUUAGCUCAUGAUAAACAAACUACCUAUCAUUUUGCAACAAAUAUCACAUCAACUUCAGGUUGUUCUUUUCGUCGCCCUUAGUAGUGUAUCUUAAUACUUCAUAGUGGUAAAUCAUGUGGAAGAAUUGUAAAAUAUAACAUUUAUUGCUCUUGUAUAUGCUUAUUGUUCCGGGUUAAAAAAAGCAUGUCCACAUAUUUUAAAAUGUUGAUUUAAUUAUAAAAGGUGUCCACGCAAUUAAAAAGAUCAUACAACUAAGAACAUUAUUCCUGAAUUUAAAUAAAGUUUGCAUAAUUUCUCAAAGUGCUCACUCAUUUAUAAAAAUGUUUAUGUAAAAUUUAAAAAAUGUUCUCACAUUUUAAUAAAAUAUGGACACACAUAAAAGACAUGCAUAUAAUUUUAUGGAAGUGUUCACAUUCUUUUAAUGUUCACAUAAUUUAGAAAAGUUUCGCAUAUUGUCAAAGAAAUGUGCACAUGUUUAGAAAGUGUUCUUACAUUUUUCUUAAAAGUCAUACAUUUUGAGAAACUUAGUGUAAAUUUAAAAAGUAUUCACAUAUUUUUGACAAAAAAUUUACGUAAUGUUUGAAGAUGCUCACACAUUUUAGGACAUGUUACAAAGGUAUCACACAUUUUAUAAACAAAUCAUGCAAAUUCCAAAAAAAAUUAAAAUGCAAAAAAUAAAAAGGGAAUGAUAAAAAGAAACUUCAUAAGGUAAAACAGAAAAAAUGAAACAUGGAAAACCAAAUAAUUGCGGUCUAGAGACAACUUUUUCUUAAAAUCACACGGUCAUUUUAUUGCUCUAUAACAAGGGGUACAAUAGAGGGGUCUCUUGGUUGAAGAAGCCACAAGAAUUGACCAUGUUCGAGGACAAAGCACUCUUGAGAAGAUUGUGAGCAAGAACUAGAGACUACUAAUACCUCCAGAGGAUAAAAGGAAGGAAAAAUGCUACUACUGGGGCACGGCCUAAGUCGGGAACACUAGAGGAGAAUUUGGCUUAUGUUUCGCAAUAAGCUAGAUAUAGCCUUUGCAUGAAAACAUGACCGUCAUAGUAAGUACUGCACACACACUCCUUUGAUUCAAAGGAAUUCUAUAAGAUUUUUGUAAGAUUUGGACCCUUAGGAAUCUUUCCUACGGUGGCAAUCCCUAGGAACUUUUUCACACGACUCAGUUGUGCUCCAUUUUGAACGAAAAGUUCCAUGCGCUCAAAUCUCUUAGUAAAGUUCUAUUUUUUCUAUAUAAUAUCGAAUUAUAUUCAAUCCAAUUCCAUUAGCUUUGUAAUACUAGGAUGCAAGAGUACAAGCCGCCCUAGUCCUACGUUUUUCCUGCUUCCAUGUUUUGAGGAUCCACUAUCAAUCACUUCACCCCACGCGCAGUUUACAUCUUAUGCAUGCUUUGAUGCUUCUGUAGAUGUAUAUCUUGCAUAGAGCUAAUCACACGACACACAUUUCAGCAUAUGAUCAUGUGCUCUAUGUCCAUAUGAAACCACACUCAAAAAUGUGGUGUGUGUCUCCACGAUGGUUGUCGUUACUAUUGCAAUCUUGGACAUGGAGGAGUAGCAUGUGGUAGAUCUGGCCCAUUCGUGGUUGUAACUGGGGAGGGGGGGAUUCAUUAUCAAUGAUAUGCAAGCGUAUUGCCAACUUGGAUUGAUGAUAUGAUCGAAAGAUAUGCCAUGUAAGGUUGAAACCGAGUUUGACCAAGGAUUACUGCCAUUACGCAUGCUACGUAGUAUUGGUAGCUUAGAAUAAAAUCACACUAGGCAUUAGUUGUGGGUGGUGAGUGACGUUAAGAAAGAUGAUGAUACUUUCCCCGCUCGUGAGUUGGGGCUCUUUUACAUCACUCUAUUGCUCCUCAACCCUAGAUAUGAGUACCUAGCCAGUCCAACCAUCCUUAUGUAAGGUUAACUUGGUCAUUUUCCAUAGGGUAUAUUUAUUGGACAUUCCAUGUUAUUCAAUACAUGCCACUACUCCAUGAGUGCCCCUAAACCUUUUAGUAGCUUGCAAUCGUUUGCCUCUGCGUAGCAUUGAAUAACUAGCACUCCCAAUGCCAAUGUCAAGCCACCACUAGCAUUCACCAGCAUUGACUCACAUCACGACCACCUCCAAAUCAACUGCAUGCAAAUCUUAAAGGAGAAUGCAUACAUAUUUUCUUUACUUACAUAGUAGUAGUAAAGUAAGGCAACAAUUUAUGUUGUGACACCAAAAAAUCCAGUACCUGAAAGUAGCUUUGAAGAAAGUCAUCUCCAAGAAUGAUACUUUCUAAUAUCUUUACUUAAUAGAAAAUGAAUAUGACAUGGACAUUGCUUUAGUUGACAAUCUGCACACUUUAUCGAUGCAUGAGCUUAUGGUUAUUGUAGCUUUCUGAAGUAGAGGCUUUGCCUAAGUUUGUAGAUAAGUAUAAUUGGACCAAUAUAAUAUUGCAACAAGAAAUAUAAUGAAAUCAAGAGGUUUGAGAUGGAUUUUCUAAUUGCUGUGAAUUGCAUGAUAACACAAAGUUUUCAUUUAUUAUUUUCACCGUAAAAAAUCUUUCAUAAUUUUCUCCAACAUGCACACGGUCUGUGCAUCCUUGUUUAGUGCAGAAAGCCAAAGUACCAAACAUUUUUGUUGUGUUGAAUAUUUUAGAAUGUAUUAUUUUUGGCACUUGAUUUUAACAUGUUAUGCGAUUUCCCGCAAAAAAGAACAUGUUAUAAAAUUCAGUUGGCAUCAUAGUUUGUCAUUUAUCUUAAUCAUAUUGAUCUCGUGUUCAAAAAGUAAAGUUUAUAGCAGAUGCUAUAUGCUCAUUUGGAUGCUAGAAAUUGUACGAUGUUUGUCACAUGUGUGUAUGAAAUUUUGUAAUGUAUGUGAAAGAUGUAUGAAUUAUGCAAUGUGUAUGAAAUCUAUAUUGUGAAAUGUAUCUUGUGAUGUCCAUGUUUGUCUCAAGAUAUGUGGCGUGCAUUCCGUACGCUAUCAUUGCUCCUGUUCAAGAAUGCAUCCAAUUAACUUGCCAAUUAAUCCCUACUAGUAGGGUGACCGAGUAGCCGAUAAACUGAUAAAUCGUCCGAUUAAUUGAUUAAAUGGCCAAUUAACUUGCCUAUUAGCCUAUUAAUCUCCUACUCGCCAGCCAAUCGAGUAGCUACCAGUUAAUGAUUCCCUCAACAAUGAUCCUUGCAUGAAUGGCCUCAUAUCUAGUUGGACCUUAAGUUAGCUCAUUAUAUACAGACUACCUAUCAUUCUGCUACAAAUAUCACAUCAACUUCAGUUGGCUCUUCUCAUCACUUUCUGUAGUGUUUCUAUAUGCUUCAUUGUGGUAAAUCAUGUAUUAGCGAAGAACUGUAAAAUAUAACAUUUGCUGCUCUUAUAUAUGCUUAUGGUUUGGGGUUCCAAAGAUGUCCACAUAUUUUAAAAUGUUGAUUGAAUUAUAAAAGGUGUUCGUGCAUUUUUAUUAAAAUGCUCAUGUGAUUUUGAAAGAUGUUCAUGCAAUUAAAAAGAUCAUAUUACUAAGAAAAGUAUUCUUGUAUUAAGUAAAGUCUGCAUAAUAUUUAAACUACCCACUGAUUAAAAAAAUAUUUAUGUAAAUUUCAAAAAAUAUUCUCACAUUUUUUUAAAAUAUGGACACACUUAAAAGAUAUGCAUAUAAUUUUAUAAAGAGUUCACAUAGUUUUUUAAAAAAUGUUCACAUAAUUUAGAAAAGUAUUCGCAUAUUUUGAAAGAAAUGUAUACAUGUUUAAAAAGUGAUCAUACAUUUAUUUUAAAUAUCACAAGUUUUUAAAAUCUUUUGGUAAAAAAUAUUCACGUAUUUUUCCCAUAAUAUUGUGUAAUAUUUGAAGAUGCUCACAUAUUUUAUAACGUGUUACAAAGGUUUCAUACAUUUUAUAAAAAUCAUGCAAUUUCCAAAAAAAUAUUUUAAAAAUAAAGUAGAAAACAAAGCAAACAAUAAGGAAAUAAUAAAAAUAAAUUUAAUAAUGUAAACACAGAAAAAAUUAAGCAUUGAAAAAUCGAAUAAAUGUGGUCUAGAGAAAACUAGAGACUUACUUUGUUUAGGAUCACAUAGUCAUUUUAUUGAUUUUCAUGCAACGUUACCCAUCACAAUUCCAUCCACUGAAAUCUCUUAGUAGAAUUCUAUUGUUUUCUCUAUGCUAUCAAACAAUUUUCAAUCCAAAUUCCUUUAGCUUUGUAAUACUAGGAUGCAAUAGGACAUGACAAUCCAGUCUUAAGCUUUUCGUAUUUCCGUGUUUCGAGAAUCCACUAUCAACCACUUCACUCCCACGCGUAGCUCGCAUCUUACACAUGCUUUGAUGCUACUAUGGAUGUAUAUCUUGCAUAAAGCUAAUCACACGACAUAAAUUUCAGCUUAAGAUCAUGCGCUCUAUGGUCAUAGAAACAUCAACCAAGAAUGGGGAGUGUGUCUCCACGACGGUUGUCACUGUGAUUGCAAUCAUGGACAUGGAGGAGCAGCAAGCGGUAAAUUUGGUCCAUUCACGGUUGUAACUGGCGAGGGGGGGGGGUGGUCAUUAUGAAUGAUAUGCAAGUGUAUUGCCAACUUGGAUUAAUGAUAUGAUGGAAAGAUAUGACAUAUAAGGUCGAAGCCGAGCUUGACCAAUGAUUACUGCCACUAUGCAAUGCUACGUAGUAUUUGUGGUUUAGAAUAAAAUCACCUUAAACAUUGGUUGAGCGAUGAAAGCUAUACAUGAUAAUUUAAUUUAUGGAAAACACAUUAAUUUUCUCAACAGAAAAUGUCUCGCGGAUCAAUGAUCAUCCUCAAUUGCCAAAUUAAUGUAUAACUUAGAGUUGCACACGAUUUGGACUAACUUGCAAGUGUUAAGACAAGUGGAGAACAUUUAAUAUCAUAAUGUUCUUCAAUACCUCGACCAUUCACAAAAUAAACUCGUUGACUAGUAAGAGUCUAAUUUUUUGCGAAAGGGAUACAAAUCUAUUAUAGAUGAUCACUGGAAGUACAAUGCACCCAAAACAAAAUAAACUCUGCUCUCUAGACCACUGAACGACCACUAGCAUCGACAGAACAAGCCGUUGUUGCCUCUCCCCUACUAGAGCCGGCGCAACCUUGUAGAUGAUAGCCGGAAGCCUCCGUGCGGGUGUCCGUAGGACUGGCACCCCAGAGCCGUAGUCAUCACUGUUAAAGCAUUGAAUCAAUCUGCAGCAUGUGACAUCGGAUCUCGAAGUCGUCCAAGUAUGACGCGAAAUCCUAACCUCGUCGUCCCAAGGAGACGACAAAAAUCUAUGUCAGAACUACGUCGACUUAAUCCUGAUGGUGAAGUUGAGGACGAUCAGAGCCUGAAACACCAGCUCGAAGAUGAAGCACUGCCAUUUGCCUAAGCGUCGCCCUUGCGGGGACUAAAUACCCCUAACCCAAACUACAAGCCGGAGCCGAGGCACCGGGAUUCCAUCUGUCAAUGGCCACCGAAGCAGCAGUCAGGGGAGGCAAAUUCAAGGGUGCACCGGCAAAGCCUGAAGGGGACCGUGUUUGUAGGUACGUUCACUUAAAUAGUAGAUGUGUACCUCGGGAGUUAUGAAUGAAGGACUGUAUCGUUCAGUCUCUCUUUGAUUCACAAGAUUCUUUCAACGCUGGAAUAAAAAAUUAUAUGACUAGUGCCAUGUCCUUUUGAAUUCCGUAGAAUUAAAAACCUACAUAAAUUUGGAUGAAGGAGUGCUUAAUAGCAUAGGAAAAAUGGUGAAAUUCUUAAGAAAUGGCUUGAGUGGAUGAAAAUUUCCCUCCAAAACAGGAUGCAAUGGAAUUCAAAGGAAAAGUUCCAAAGAAUUGCAAUCAUGUGAAUCAAACUGCAACGCAUGAAAAGAUUCCUAAGGAUUUAGAUCCUCUAAAUUUCUACAAAAUCCCUGUGAAUCAAAGGAGGUCUAAACAUGUUUCGUGCAUAACUAGUACGUCUUGAAAGAGACGUGUACAUCCACAGUAUUGAACAUGUUGCAUACACACUCAUGUGUUAUGUUCUGCCUAAUUACAAUUCUGAUUCUGGAGCACCGCUUCUGUCCAGGAAAUGAAGGACAAGUUUAUCUCCGUCGGUCUCGGUCCUCAUCAGGUCACUUCUUCUCAUUGGUAAUGGUCAUUCACCCCCACUUCCGGCCACAAGAAGAGGUCUCGCGUCGCUCUCGAGCGCCCCUCCCCUUCCCGCGCCGCCGGCCGCUCCGGCCGCGGCGGCCACCUCUCUCCGUGCCGUGAGCUGCCCAACCUAGCCCCUACGCGCCGCUGGUCACUCCGGUCGCGGCGGCCACCGCUCCUUCCGUCAGCGGCCUCCAGCUGGAGACAUGGGCCGCCCCCGCUCCCGUAGAUCUAGUGCUAGUGGUAGCCGGCGUGCAUCCACGCCUGCCUCACCUGCGUCCUCCGGUCCGUCCAUGGUGCCGGAUUCCUAGCUGCCCCGCGACGUCAAUGCGCGAAAUCCCGAAUCCCCGUGCCGGAUCCUAUUUCGUGGAGAGUGCUCCACCGCCUCGGCCCUGCUCCGCCCAGCGGAUCCUGCUGCGGAUCCCAUCCCUUUGCCUCUUUUGGAGCGACCGCGCCUUCAAUCCAUAGUUGUCGCGCCUGCGGCCUCCGCCAGUUCGCCUUCCCUGGAGCCGGACCGUGGUUGGACUAUGGUCUAAUCCCGGAAAGGCCGGCGCCCCAACUCUGGCCGUGCGGGCAAUAGGCCGCGCUUUUCUCCAUCCCUCCUUGGCCGGCGUGGAGCCUUCAAUGCAUCUGCCGGCCGGGCUGCCUUCUUAAGCCAGUUCAGGGGGAAGUGUUUUCGCUGCCUGAGCAAGAAACACCGUAGGAAGGACUGCCGGGACCCGAUCUACUGCAUCAUCUGCAACCUUUCCGGCCAGUUCGGCCGGGAGUGCCCGCAGAAUCCCAAGCGUAACCCCGCCGCGGCCUCGGCUCGGGUGCCGGUGCGGGAUAGGCUUCGCUUCCCUACUGCUGCUGCCGUAACUCCGCCACCAAACUUCGCCGCGUCCCCGUCGUCUGCCAUGGAGGGUACCCACGUCGCCGACCCUGCGCGCCGUCCGCGCCACAGCUGCAAGGUGGUCAUGUCAACCCCUGCCCUGGAGCACGCCGUCUUCGUCCUCAAGCGCCAGGCCGUGCUGCUCACGGCGGCGGACGCCAGGCGGACCUCCUCUGCCAUGGCGGUCGGCCAGGAGCUGGAGGCGCGGCUGCGCAUCCAGCCGCACCAGCUGCGGAUCACCUGCCACGACCCGGAGGAAUACCUCAUCAUCUUCGACCUGCCGAUUCACCAGGAGCAAGUGGCCAAGCUGGGCGCCCUGACGGUCGACGGCGCCAAAUUCUUCAUCAAGCGCUGGCAUGAAGACGACCAUGCGGUGAUCCAGCCUUUCAACUACCAUGUCCGAGUCGUCAUCGAGAAGAUGCCUGCUGGGUCUGGGUGUGGGAUGUCGGCCUCAUCCCGACCAAGCACACCUUCUGGCUGAUGCAGCGCGGGGCGGGCAGAGUGGACGAGAUGCUGGGCUUCUCGCUGCCUGGCCGAGCCGUUGCUGCGCCGCCGUCCGCCAGCCGCCACGACGUCCUCAUCCACGUCGAUCGCAUCGAGGACUGGACUCCAUACGAGCCGCAGUCGCCUCGCUCCGCUCAGAGCGGCCUGCCGUCCUCGGACUCGGACGACGACGACAGGCCGAUGUCGCGCAUCAUCGCGGCUGGCUCCUGGAAGAAGGGCGUGGAGGACGGCCAGCGUGAGCCACAGCAUCGCCGUCAACUCGCCGCGCUGGCGGAUAUGGGGUGCCGCGGCGGUGCCCGUGGCGGCGGCAGGAAGGACGACGAGGGCGACGACCGAGGCGGGCGCAGAUCUUGGAAAGACACCCUCCUCGGUCACAGCCGUGCGGGUAAGGAGAAGGUGGUGGAGACGGAGGCCUCCUCGCGUCGCCGCAGCCGCUCCCCUCCGGGCCAGCGCCGCUCGGAGAGCUCCUGGGGCCGCCACAACUCUGGUCGCCGCCGUGCAGCGGGUGCAGGGGCCGCCCUGCUCUAGGCCACGCGGCCCCUGCCCCCCAGGCGCAUGCCGAUGCGCCACCAAUCGCUGACCCGAUUGCGGAUUUCUUCGCCGGCGCCAAGAUCCCGCUCCCGCCCCCCCCCCUUUCGACUGCAUGGCCGCUGAGCUGGAGGCUCACGCGGCGGCUGCCGUUUCUGAGCCCCUGCAAUUCAACGGAGAAGUCAACAACGCCACGGCCGCGACCACGGGCCUGCUGGANNNNNNNNNNNNNNNNNNNNNNNNNNNNNNNNNNNNNNNNNNNNNNNNNNNNNNNNNNNNNNNNNNNNNNNNNNNNNNNNNNNNNNNNNNNNNNNNNNNNNNNNNNNNNNNNNNNNNNNNNNNNNNNNNNNNNNNNNNNNNNNNNNNNNNNNNNNNNNNNNNNNNNNNNNNNNNNNNNNNNNNNNNNNNNNNNNNNNNNNNNNNNNNNNNNNNNNNNNNNNNNNNNNNNNNNNNNNNNNNNNNNNNNNNNNNNNNNNNNNNNNNNNNNNNNNNNNNNNNNNNNNNNNNNNNNNNNNNNNNNNNNNNNNNNNNNNNNNNNNNNNNNNNNNNNNNNNNNNNNNNNNNNNGACCAGGACUGCGCCGCCCCCCGUUCGUCACAGCGCCAGGCAGGCGGCCAACCCGUCCCCAGUGCCAGUCGCGCAACAGGGAACCCUCAGGCUGGUGCGCGAGCUGGGCCUGCUGGGUCCCAAGGAGAAGAUGACCGCCAAGGCUGCAGAGAAGCUUCCGCGCAAGUUCGAUGAGCCACUCUCCGACGAAGACAUUGCCUGCAUUGCCAAGCUCACCCGCCUCAGUCACGAGGCGCUGCACGUUGCUGCCGCCAUGGCCGGACCUGAUGGAGCUGCCGAUGAGGCCGUAGUGUGAUCAUGUUAGUUUGUCCUUAUGUUAGUAGUCUCCAACGGCGCCCGGCCUUAAGCGGGGUUGAGUUAGGUCCUGUUAUUGUUUUAGUCAGGUUAGCAGGUAGGUUUAGCUGGUGCUGGUGCAGUUUGGGGCCUAUUGGAGGGUGCCAGCAUCCCCACGUGCGUGGUUGUGUGUGGUUGUUUUCCGUCCUGAACUCUAUCAAUGGUAGUAGUUGUCGUUGGAGUAUGCUCUGGUUUCCAUAUGGAUGACAACCACUGCCCAAUUCUUAGUUGGAAUGUGCGGGGGUUGAACAUGCCAGCCAAACGUGAUGAUGUGUGCGAAACUGCGGCAGCGCAUCGACCAGCAAUCCUGUGCCUCCAAGAAACCAAGAUCGAUGUAUGGUCGCCGGCCCUAGUCAAGGAUGUAGGAGGAGCGAGGCUUGCUGACUACAUAGUCCUCCCUGCGAUAGGCACCAGGGGAGGGAUCGCAGUUCUGUGGGAUAAGCAGAUCGUCUCGAUCGUCUCUCACGCUGUAGGAGAGUUUGCCAUAACUGCAAAAGUUACCGUCCUGCGCACGGCGACCACGUUCUGGCUAACCACAGUCUACGGGCCAGCGGACGAGGCUCGGAAAGAUGAUUUUCUAAGAGAGUUAGCUAGCUCUGCGCCGCCCUCGACUGAGCCGUGGCUGCUUACGGGAGAUUUUAACAUAAUCUAUGAGGCGGGGGAUAAAAACAACUUCAACCUAAAUAGGCGCAUUAUGGGUAGGUUUAGAGCUGCGAUCGACUCGGCUUGCCUGCGGGAGAUUAAGUACAAAAAUAGACGCUUCACGUGGAGUAACGAAAGGCAAAACCCUACCUUGGUUAGCAUAGAUAAAUUUUUCUGCAAUGUCAAUUGGGAGGUGCUCUUCCCCGCUUAUGGACUGAUGGCCUCUGCCACGGCGUGCUCUGAUCACUGCCCGCUGAUCCUAGCAUCGUGCGAUGCCCCUAAGCGCCCUGCUCGCUUUCGUUUUGAGUCCUUCUGGCCAAAAUUCCCACAUUUUCAAGCCACCGUCGAGCGGGCUUGGAACCGGCCAGUUCAGCAGCGCUGUGCGUUCUCACGGUUGCAAACCAAGCUGACCAGAACUGCUCGUGAUCUGAAGAUUUGGAGCAAGUCUCUUUUCAGUGAUGCAAAGCUGCAGUUCCAUAUUACCAGCGAGGUCAUCCUGCGGUUAGAAGUAGCUCAAGAGGCAAGAACCCUGUCGGUUGCAGAGUUUACUCUGCGUAGAUUGCUCAAGAUGAGAUUGGUAGGGCUGGCGGCCAUCGAGAGAGCCAGAAAAAGGCAAGCCUCCCGGGUUCUCUGGCUGCGAGCGGGAGAUGCCAGCACCAAGUUCUUUCAUGCCAAGUUCUGCUCAAGAAGGCGCAAAAACUUCAUUCACUCCAUCCAGAGUGACGACAGAAUUGCAAUAACGCAUGCAGACAAGGCCCAAGUCAUCCAGGAUCAUUUUAGCAAGGCAAUGGUAGCUAGCACGGGCCGGAGUGUCACGUUAAACUGGGGUGUGCUGCGGCUGCCAAGGGUCCAAGCCGCUGGUUUGGACAACCCCUUCACCGAAGAUGAAGUUUGGGCAGCAAUUUUGCAGUCGCCGACAGAAAAAGCUCCGGGGCCUGACGGUUUCAUUGGCAGAUUCUUCAGAGCCUGCUGGCCGAUCAUCAAGGAUGACAUUAUGGCGGCGUUCCCCCGCUUCUACAGCCUCGCGGGGGGAAAUUUAGCUGCGCUGAACACGGCGUUUGUGGCGCUGCUUCCAAAGAAAGAGGGUGCCGCGAGAAUAAAUGACUUUCGGCCGAUCAGUUUGAUACAUUCUUUUGCCAAGUUGGUGACCAAGGUUCUGUCAAUCAGACUGACAAAAGUGAUCCACACAAUUGUUUCACCAGCGCAAUCUGCAUUCAUGAAGAAGAAGUGCAUCCAGGAUAGUUUUCUGUACGUGCAAAAUGGAGUACGAGCGUUGUACAGAAGCAGAACACCGUCGCUGCUGUUGAAGCUGGAUAUAUCGAAGGCUUUUGAUAGUGUUUCCUGAGACUACCUGCUGGAGCUGCUGCAAGAACUGGGUUUCAGCGCUCGGUGGAGGGACUGGGUUGCAUGGCUGCUCUCAACGUCGAGCUCUGAGUUCCUCCUCAACGGAACGGCAGGGAGCAGGAUCAAACACCGGAAAGGGCUUCGUCAGGGAGAUCCGCUGUCACCGCUGCUUUUUAUUCUUGCAACUGACCCGUUGCAGCGCCUGAUUGACGAGGCGAUCACGCAACAGAUGAUUAAGCCGUUGCCUAGGAGAGAGCUCAAGCUCAGGGUCAACCUCUACGCAGAUGAUGCCGUGAUUUUCAUGAAUCCGGACAAGGCCGAGAUGGAUGCUUUAGUCGCUAUUCUGCACAUGUUUGGAGAAGCCACGGGCCUGAAGAUAAAUCGUCAGAAAUCAACUGCAACCCGAUCCGUUGUGAAACAGUUGACAUUCAGCAGGUGCUGCAAAGUUUUGGGGGCACUGUGGCCAAUUUCCCGAUGAAAUACCUGGGGUUGCCGCUCACCCUCACCAGAACCAGGAUCAUGCACCUCCAGUUCGUCCCUGAUCGGAUUAGGGCAAGGUUGGUAGGGUGGAAAGGAAAGCUAAUGUCUAUCGCUGGCAGGCGGGUGCUAGUCCGAGCUGUUCUAAGCGCAAUUCCUACCUUUGCUCUCACCGUGCUUCGUAUGCCGAAAAAAUUUCUCAAGGAGAUUGACAAGGUGCGGCGGCGUUUCCUCUGGGCGCCGGAGGAGGAGCUGUCCGGUGGCAAAUGUAAGGUGAACUGGUCCAAGGUUUGCUCUCCGCUGGACAAGGGCGGGCUUGGGGUCCUCGAUCUCGAGCGUUUCGGCAGAGCUCUCCGGCAAAGGUGGCUCUGGCUCACAUGGAAGCACCCGGAGAGGCCAUGGGCGGGCAUGGAAGUGCCGUGCUCGGAAACAGACAAGGCGUUCUUCAGCGCGGCUACGUCAGUCACCGUUGGAAAUGGCCAGACAGCUCGUUUCUGGACCUGCUCCUGGCUGCCAACGGGCACGCUCAGGGUGCUGUUUCCCGCUCUAUAUCAGCACUCGAAGUGGAAGAAUAGGAGUAUGGCCGAUGCCCUGCAUGAGGAUCGCUGGAUCCGAGACCUGGCGCAUGGACAGACAGACCUGGUGGUGCAAGACUGCGUGUGUUUGGCACGGCUGCUGCGAACUGCUUCGAUCUCCCUCAACCUGGACUCCGCAGAUGAAAUUAGUUGGAGUCUCGAGGCCAAUGGCUGCUACUCGGCAUCGUCAGCAUAUCGAGCACAAUUCCAGACCAACCACGGCUCGGUUUUCCCACAGCUCAUUUGGAAAACAUGGGCGCCCGGGAAGCUGAAGGUUUUCUGCUGGCUGCGGAUGCUGGAUAGGUUGUGGUGCAACGACCGACUGCAGCGACGAGGAUGGCCAAACUCAUAUUUCUGCCAAUUCUGUAUGCAGAACCUUGAGACUGCUGAGCACGUUUUCUGGACAUGCCCGUUCACUGCAUCACUCUGGAACAGCUUGUCGACAUGGCAAGGCUGUGAGGCCCUGAGGACGCAGCCUGAAGACAACGACACAACGACAGCUGAUCGGGUGUCGCGGAUUGUGGGGAGCACAAAGCCAGAGUUCAGAAAGGGCAUCAAAUCACUGGCGAUGUUGACGCUCUGGGAGAUCUGGUUGCACCGCAACAGUUGCACUUUUAGAGAAAAGGAGCCCUCCGCGACGGCGGUCAUGCAGGCGAUCAGGAGAGGUAUUGACCUCUGGCGCCAAGCUGGUGCAUCCUGCCUAAUGCACCCGUUCACUCUGCCUCCAGAAGGGAUAGGCUGAUCGUUUUGCCACUGUAUCUUCUCCUAGUGGGCUUGUAAUCUUUUCCUCCUUCCUCCUUUUUCUUUAUCUUUCUCUCUGAUCUGCGGAUCAGCCCCAUGUCUCUGUUUUUCCACAUGCUCUCUGCUAUGAUCAACAUGAAACACCAGCAUCCAAGCUGGGUCUUUAAAAAAAACAAUUCUGAUUCCCUCCGGGAGACCUAUGAACAUCAGUUGUGGUCUCCGCGGCGCCCGUGUGCGUUCGGAAGCUUCUGCUGCUGGACGAUGAGUCGCGCCGGGAGUUGCCGGCCAGUGCCAGAGCCUCCGCAGCUGCGGCACCGCUUGCGGCCGGAGCCGGAGCACGUCCCGCAGCCGACGUCGCCGUCGGACCAACGGCUGCAGAGGCACUCCUCCCGGCCGGUGCCGCGGCACGUGGAGCAACGGGGCCGUGCGUUCCACCUGUACGCCGCCGGCAGCCCGUCGCCCGUCGUCCGGUUCGCCGUCGCCACGCCCGCCACGCCCGCCAGCAUCCCGAGGCCCGCCGCCGCGAUCACCUCGGGCGCCACCAUCUUCACAGAAGAACCAAUCCAAGAACCUUUCUUGCCGUAUGGUGCUGGUAGGAGUGGAAGAAAAGAUUUUGGAUGGGUGCCAGUGGUCGGGGUGCGUCGGUUGAUUUAUAGGACUUUUUCCGGUGGUGGAUGCUGGGCUCGCUUAGUCUAGCAGCUUGGAGAGUAGCCGAGCCGCGGAAGGGAUGGCGUGUCGCCUAUACUCUGCUCGGCGAUUCUGUUUCGGUUUCGUGCGUGCGUACUGCAAGCCAUGGCUGCUUGCUGGCUGCUCCACGUGGAUUUACGUGCUCCAUUGCCGUCUCCACGCUACGGGACGUAUUCGCAGCAAGGCAUAUGGUUUGUCCUCUGCAUUCUUAUGAAUUCCGUUAACGUUUACUCCUAGUUGCAACAUACUGUUGGGUAUACGUCGCGGACAGGAUGGAAGCGCGUAUGCAUGUCUCAACCGUCGACCAAAAGCUCACUAACAGCCAAACUAUAGCACAAACGCCACAUCGCCACUGCAUCCUAAAUUCCCCAAGUGCUAUAUUUUUCGCUGUCGUAUAUGCAUUGAGCUAUAGUGGGGUCAUUGCCUACUGGGUUCGUUCCCACGUUGAUUAAUGGGUACCGCUAGGGAUCAUCUUGCUAUUGUAGUUUUCUGCAGGAGAGGCUUUGACUAAAGGCAUCUUCAAUGGCAACCCGUAAAAUGUCUUCCGCAUCCGUCCAUAGAUAGAGGGACCAGUCCGCGGACACGGAUGCGGGAGGACGGCAUCUAACGCCAGCCGCAUACAUUUUCAACCGAACGAAAUUCGUGCAAAAAUGGCCGGAUUUCAUAUAAAAAGGCGGAUUUUUAUAUAAACAGUACAUUUACAUCAACGACGCUAGUCCGGCUCCGUAGGUAUAACUAAUACCUAAUCUAAAUGGCCGCCCGCGGAUCCCUUUGUGUUCCUCAUGUCCGGCAGCCCGAUCACCGGACUGUCGGGAGCCACAGAGGUAUAUGCUUCAGCGCAAAGGACGGCUCGCUUCUGCAUCGUCAUCGGAGCGGAACCCCGGCUGAUGCUUCAUCGGUAGGGGAAGGGGGGCGCUUCCGCUUCCGUGGAGCUCAUGCGGGCUGUGAACGUCGCCGUCGCCUCGGCAGUGGACUCCCGUGUUCUACUUCUUCUCGAUGAUAGCGGCGGACGCGGGGGCGCCGGCCACCGACCCAAGUUGUAGUCUCCGCGCACCCGGCUCCUAUCUCCGCCUGCAUGGCACGGUCGCACGCACGGGAGGCGCGGUCACACGCACGGGAGGCGCGGCCGCAGACACGGGAGGCGUGGUCACACACACAGGAGGCGCUGCCUUAGACACAGGAGGCGUGCGUGAGUCUAUUGGCGAGGAACCAGAAGGUGUGCGCGUCACCAGAACUGGUAGUGGCCGCAUCGUCUGCGUCGGAGCGUGGCGGGUGCGCGAGCCAGGGGUGCAGGACAUGGGUGAGUGGGCGCGUUGCGGGCGCGGCGUGGCGCGUGUGCGCUUGCACGUAUAAGACUCCCAUACCCCUGUGUACUGUUGUGUGGCUCGAGUUGUUGCUUGGGGAAAAAAGGCCGUCGUUGCAGCGGGCGUUCGAGCGCCAGAACGCCCGUGUCCAGCUUCUUCUUCCUCCUUUUCUCUUCUUGGGCUUGUGCCAGAGAGAGUGAGCGUGAGAGAGAGAGAGAGAUGGGACGAGCUAGGGGGUUGAAGAAAUCCCUACAGUGAUUUAAGUUUCGUGCGUGUGUGGGGCUGUGGGCCAGCGACUUGUCUGAUGAACCAAUUUUUUAUAUCCGCUAGGCCUGGGGGUGGGGGGGGGCUGCAAGGAACCAAGCACGCCCUAUUGCUACUGCAUUACCAUGCAGUAGUUUCAUGGGACCAACCGGUGACUCGAUAGAAGCCCAUACACAUGGUGUAAGACAAAUAAAUGAUGCAAGGAUAUCUCUCCUUUUGUUAAUAUACAUUAUUGCUAGAUGGAGACCAUAAUAUUUAAAUUAUGCAUGUUACACUAUUAGGGAAAAGCUUAUAGGCAGACGCUUACUAGUAGCGCGGGUUUAUACCCCUCGCUACUGCUAAUUACUAGUAGCGCAUGUUUUGACCCCUCACUGCCACUAAGUUGAUAGUAGUAGCGCGGAUUUUUACCCCUCGCUACUACUAAGUGAUUUUCACCGUGCCUUCCGGGACCAGCCGUAGUAGUAGCGCUGGUUAUAAACCCACGCUACUACUAAGUUGAUAGUAGUAGCGCGGGUUAUAAAUCCCAGGCUACUACUAAGUGGUCUCUACCGUGCACCCCAGGACAUGCCAUAGUAGUAGCGUGGGUAUAAACCCAGCGCUACUAUUAUCAACCCACCGACACAUGUAUAAACAUAGCGCACGGAGGCCCAAUCCCACACCCACACUCUCUCGAUUUCACUUCUCCCUCCCACCUGCGACGCCCUUCCUCGCCCACCGCAACUGUCGGCCUCGCAGCUCGACGUCUCCCUCAAAUCCGGCGACCUCCUCUUCCACCGUAGCCCCUCCUUCCUCCUCCUCCUCCUCCGCUGCUGGAAGGAGAGGAAGAUCCAGCAGAGCGCCGCCCAUGACGAUGGCCAAGUCUCUGAUGGACGCAACCCAUGGCGUCAUCUAGGGUUUCGGCUCCAAUUUCGGUGGCCACUGGUGAGUUGCUGCACCUACUCCUCUCUAUCUCUCUCUUCCUCUUAUAAUCCUUGUCUCUUUUUUUGUAGCAGUAGCAAAGGAGAGGUGUGGAGAAGAGUUGGAUGGGGAAGCACCCUCUCCAUGGACGACUUCAUCCCCUCUAGGAUCAGCAUCGGCCAUGGAUGAAGAGGACGAUGACACCUAGCAGCAGCAGCCAUGGCUGGAACUUAUUUUUUUUCCUAAUUAGUUAGCAGUAGCGAGGGUCCAGAACCACGCUACUACUAGUUAGUAGUAGCGCGGGUGGUAUCCACACUACUACUAACGGACGUAGUAGUAGCACGGGUGGCACCCGCGCUGCUACUACCAGUUAGCUGUAAGACCGUAUCAGUAGCGCGGGCACCCGCGCUGCUACUACCAGUUAGCUGUAACACCGUAUCAGUAGCGCGGGCACCCGCGCUACUGAUAUACCUAAAACCCGCGCUACUGCUAGGCUUUUCCCUAGUAGUGUUAUCUUAAUUCUCUCUCUAACACACCCUUGAUUGGAAAUGUCCAUGCAUGCUUUAGUUAUUAGUAUAGUUGAUUUCACGGUUACGCAAGAAUGCUAAAGAAGACCAUAAGGCCAUGAACCGGUAAUGUUAAUUUUACUAUGAAAGUAUUGGAGUUCCCUAAAAAAUAGAAGUAUUGGAGUACUAAUUCUUUUUCUACAAUUCAAAUUAAUAUAUUAUCAUUAAUGCCUCGCGUACUUGCUCUGGUAUUUAGUCACAAGAUCAUAUAUUAAUUCACGCUCACCAACUCCUUCAAAGAUAGAUGGAGAAAAUAUUUAUGUCCUUAUUUUGUACACCUUCUAACAUACAUAUAAGUAUUGAGACCUCCAUUGGUUGGAUAGGGUAAGAUGGGAGCACAUUGCAAACUUAGAUCUAGUUAGAAAGGUAGAGCCGGGCAAGGAUCUCCUAGUUUGCACUACUAGAGAAACUAAAGCUUCUACAUAUGAUGGUUUAGAACUAAUGUUGGGAAUGAGGGGAGCCAGAAAAUAUUCUCUUUGGAUGAGCCCACGAUAUGGGGAAGCACCUCCUGAUCAUGAAAUCCAUUAUCAACUCGUCACAAAAUAGUCUUAGCACCAUCACUUUAUGUGUGAUACCUUAUUGGUGUGUAACCAUUCUGAACUAUUUAUGUCUUCUCUGGUUGCGGGUGGUGAGUGCCAUCAAGAAGAUGGUGAUAACUUCUCCGCUCGUGAGUUGGAGCUCUUUUACAUCACUCUUUUGCUCAUCAACCCUAGAUAUGAGUAUCAAGCCAUUUUGACCAUCCAUACGUAAGGGUAACUUGGUCAUUUUUGAUAGGGUAUAUUAGAAAUUUCAUGUUAUUCCAAUACACCCCACUACUCCACAAGUGCCCCUAAACAAAUUAAUAGCUUGCAAUUGUUUGCCCUUGCGUAGCAUCGAUUGACUAGUGCUUCCGAUGCUAAUGUCGAGCCACCACCAUCCUUCACCAGCAUUGACUCGCAUCACGGCCACCUCUAAAUCAAGUGCAUGCAAAUAUUUAGGGAGAAUGCAUGCGUAUUUUCUUUACUUACAUAACAAAAGUAAAGCAGGGCAACAAUUUAUGUUGUGACACCCAAAAAUCCAGUACCUGAAAGUGGCUCUGAAGAAAAUCAUCUCCAAGAACGAUACAAAAAGUACGAUGUCAGUUCUCUAAUAUAUUUAAUUAAUGCAAAAUGAAGAUGACAUGGACAUUGCUUCAGUUGACAAUCUGCACACUUUAUCAGUGCAUGAGCUUAUAGUUAUUGUAGUUUUCUGAAGGAGAGGUUUUGCCUAAGCUUGUAGAUAUAGUACGAUUGAACCAAUAUUGUAACAAGAGAACUAAUGAAUCAAGACGUUCGAAAUGGAUUAUCUGAUUGCAGUGAAUUGCAUGUUAACAUGAAAGUUUUCAUUUAUUGUUUUCACGGUGCAAAAAGUUUUCAUAUUUUUCUCCAAUAUGCAGACAAUCUGUGCAUCCUUAUAUAAUGUAAAAAGACAGAGUAGCAAAGAUUUCUAUCGUGUUCAAUAUUCCAGAAUGUAUUCUAUUUGGCACUUGAUUUUAACACGCUAUGUGAGUUCCCGCAAAAAAGAACAUAUAGAACAUGUUAUGCAGUUUUGUUGACACCAUUAUUUGUCAUUUUGCUUAAUCAUAUUGAUUUGGUGUUCAACUAAAUAAAUUUUAUAGCACAUCGUAUUUUAUCAUUUGGAUGCUAGAAAUUGUAAGAUGUAUGUAGCAUGUGUGUACGAAAUUGUGUAGUGUAUGCGAAAGAUGUAUGGAAUAUAUAUUGUGAAAUGUAUCUUAUGAUGCCCAUGUUUGACUCAAGGUACGUGUUGUGCAUUUUGCAAGCUAUCAUUGCGUGAAUGCCAUCAUAUCCAGUUGGACCUCACUUAGCUCAUGAUAAACACACUACCUAUCAUUUAGCAACAAAUAUCACAUCAACUUCAGGUUGUUCUUUUCAUCACCUUAAGUAGUGUAUCUUAAUACUUCAUUGUGGUAAAUCAUGUGGAAGAAUUGUAAAAUAUAACAUUUGUUGUUAUUGUAUAUGCUUAUUGUUUCGGGUUUAAAAAAAGCAUGCCCACAGAUUUUAAAAUGUUGAUUUAAUUAUAAAAGGUGUCCACGCAAUUAAAAAGAUCAUACAACUAAGAAAACGAUUCAUGAAUUUAAAUAAAGUUUGCAUAAGUGCUCACUCAUUAACAAGAAUGUUUAUGUAAAAUUUCAAAAUUGUUCUCUCAUUUUAAUAAAAUAUGGUCACACAUAAAAGGCAUGCAUAUAAUUUUAUAGAAGAGUUCAAAUUUUUUAAUGUUCACAUAAUUUAGAAAAGUUUCGCAUAUUAUCGAAGAAAUGUGCACAUGUUUAGGAAGUGUUCAUAUAUUUUUCUUAAAAGUCAUACAUUUUGAAAAACUUAGUGUAAAUUUAAAAAGUAUUCACAUAUUUUUGACAAAAAAAUUACGUAAUGUUUGAAGAUGCUCAGUCAUUUUAAGAGAUGUUACAAAGGUAUCACACAUUUUAUAAACAAAUCAUGCAAAUUCCAAAAAAAAGAAAAAUUAAUAAAAAUGCAAAAAAAUAAAAAGGGAAUGAUAAAAAGAAACUUAAUAAGGUAAAACAGAAAAAAUGAAACAUGGAAAACGAAAUAAUUGCGGUCUAGAGAAAACUAGAGACAAGUUUUUCUUAGAAUCACAUGGUCAUUUCGCUCUAUAACAAGGGGUGCAAUAGAGGGAUCUCAUGGCUGAAGAAUCCACAAGAAUUGACCAUGUUCGAGGGACAAAGCACUCUUUAGAAUAUUGUGAGCAAGAACUAGAGGCAACUAAUACCUCCAGAGGAUAAAAGGAAGGAAAAAUGCCACUACUGGGGCACAACCUAAGUCGGGAACACUAGAGGAGUGUGUGGCGUAUGUUUCACAAUAAGCUGGAUAUAGCCUUUGCAUCAAAACAUGACCGUCAUAAUAAGUAAUGCACACACACUCCUUUAAUUGACAGGAAUUAUAUAAGAUUUUUUUAAGAUUUGGACCCUUAGGUAUCUUUCCAAUGAUGCGGAUCCCUAGGAACUUUUCCACAUGACUCAUCUGUGCUCCAUUUUGCACGAAAAAUUCCAUGCACUCAAAUCUCUUAGUAAAGUUCUGUUUUUUCUCCAUGAUAUUGAAUAAUCUUCAAUCCAAAUUCCAUUAGCUUUGUGAUACUAGGAUGCAAGAGUAUAAGGCGCUCUAGUCCUGCAUUUUUCCUGCUUCCGUGUUUUGAGGAUCCACUACCAAUCACUUCACCCCACGCGCGUUUGCAUCUUACACAUGCUUUGAUGCUCAUGUCGAUGUAUAUCUUGCAUAGAGCUAAUCACACGACACGCAUUUCAGCACAGGAUCAUAUGCUCUAUGUCCAUAUGAAACACUCAAGAAUGUGGUGUGUGUCUCCAUGAUGGUUGUCGUUAUUGUUGCAAUCUUGAACAUGGAGGAGCAGCAUGUGGGAGAUCUGGCCCAUUCGUGGUCAUAAGUGGGGAGGAGGGAGAUUCAUCAUCAAUGAUAUGCAAGCGUAUUGCCAACUUGGAUUGAUGAUGUGACGCCCCCGAUUCAAUCGUACACUAAUCAUACACGCAAACGUGUACGAUCAAGAUCAGGGACUCACGGGAAGAUAUCACAACACAACUCUAAAAUAAAAUAAGUCAUACAAGCAUCAUAAUACAAGCCAGGGGCCUCAAGGGCUAGAAUACAAGUGCUCGAUCAUAGACGAGUCAGCGGAAGCAACAAUAUCUGAGUACAGACAUAAGUUAAACAAGUUGCCAUAAGAUGGCUAGCACAAACUGGGAUACAGAUCGAAAGAGGCACAUGCCUCCUGCCUGGGAUCCUCCUAAACUACUCCUGGUCGUCGGCGGCAGCCUGCAUGUACUAGUAGGCACCCUCGUUGCAGUAGGAGUCGUCGAAGGUGGCGUCUGACUCCUGGGCUCCAGCAUCUGGUUGCGACAACCGAGAAGGACUGAAAGGGGGGAAAGAAGGAGAAAAGCAACCAUGAGUACUCAUCCAAAGUACUCGCAAGCAAGGAUCUACACUACAUAUGCAUGGGUACCUGUGUAAAGGGGUAAUAUCGGUGGACUAAACUGCAGAAUGCCAGAAUAAGAGGGGGAUAGCUAGUCUUGUCGAAGACUACGCUUCUGGCAGCCUCCAUCUUGCAGAUGUAGAAGAGAGUAGAUGGUAAGUUCACCAAGUAGCAUCGCAUAGCAUAACCUACCCGGCGAUUCUCUCCUCGUUGCCCUGUGAGAGAGUGAUCACCGGGUUGUAUCUGGCAUUUGAAAGGGUGUGUUCUAUUAAUAUCCGGUUCUAGUUGUCAUAAGGUCGAGGUACAACUCCGGGUCGUCCUGUUACCGAAGAUCACGGCUAUUCGAAUAGAUUAACUUCCCUGCAGGGGUGCACAACAUUACCCAACACGCUCGAUCCCCUUUGGCCGGACACACUUUUCUUGGUCAUGCCCGACCUUGGAAGAUCAACACGUUGCAGCCCCACCUAGGCACAACAGAGAGGUCAGCACGCCGGUCUAAAUCCUAUGGCGCAGGGGUCUGGGCCCAUCGCCCAUUGCACACCUGCAUGUUGCGAGGGCGGCCGGAAGCAGACCUAGCCUCCCUAAUACAAGAGCAGGCGUUCCAGUCCAAUCCGGCGCGCGCCGCUCAGUCGCUGACGUCAAGAAGGCUUCGGCUGAUACCACGACGUCGAGUGCCCAUAACUGUUCCCGUGUAGUUGGUUUGUGUGUAUAGGCUAGUGGCCAGACUUAGAUCAAAUACCAAGAUCUCGUUAAGCGUGUUAAUUGAUGUAACCGCAGACGCCGACCAGGGCCAGGCCCACCUCUCACCCAGGUGGUCUGAACCUGCCCUGUCGCUCCGCCACAAAGUAACAGUAGGGGGCCGUCGAGAACCCAGGCCCACCUCUACUGGGAUGGAGCCACCUGUCCUUUCAGCCCCCACAUCGGAAUCACUUGCGGGUACUCUACGAGCCGACCCGACUUUAGUCACCACAUGUAUCAUAUAAUAUGUAUGUAAGUAUAUACACGUGAUCACCUCCCGAGUGAUCACGACCCGGUAGUAUAGCAUGCCAGACGGACAAGAAUGUAGGGCCACUAAUGGAAUACUAGCAUCCUAUACUAAGCAUUUAGGAUUGCAGGUAAGGGUAACAACUGUAGCAACAAUGGCAGGCUAUGUGGCAGAAUAGGAUUAACCGAAAGCAGUAACAUGCUACACUACUCUAAUGCAAGCUGUAGAGAGAAGGAAUAGGCGAUAUCUGGUGAUNNNNNNNNNNNNNNNNNNNNNNNNNNNNNNNNNNNNNNNNNNNNNNNNNNNNNNNNNNNNNNNNNNNNNNNNNNNNNNNNNNNNNNNNNNNNNNNNNNNNNNNNNNNNNNNNNNNNNNNNNNNNNNNNNNNNNNNNNNNNNNNNNNNNNNNNNNNNNNNNNNNNNNNNNNNNNNNNNGGCAAGAAGGACGGGUCGUCAACACCGUAGUCGAACUUGGGGCCGCCGGCAGCCUCAGGGUCUACCGGAAAGAAGCAACGGAGGGGGAACACAAUAAAUAACAGAGCAAUCAAAGCAUCACAAAGCGUAACAUGGCAAUACGCGGUGCUAGAGAUGACCUAACGCAGUAGGAGGUGAUACCGGCGAAGGGGGGAAACAUCCGGGAAAGUAUCCCCGGUGUUCCGCGUUUUCGAACUGACGGACCGGAGGGGAAAAGUUGCGUGUUCGCUAUGCUAGGGAUGUGUGGCGGACGAACGGGCUACGCAUUUGGAUUCUUCUCGUCGUUCUGAGCAACUUUCAUGUACAAAGUAUUUUCAUCCGAGCAACGGAUUAUUUUAUAUUAAUUUUCAAAAUUUUAAUUCAUUUUUAGAAUUAACAGAAUUAAUUUAAUUAGAAAAUGUAAUUAUGACGUCAGCAUGAUGUCAGGGUGAUGUCAGCAGUUAACUACUCAGUUAACCUAGUCACACUAACGUGUGGGUCCCAUUGUCAUUGUCUAAGACUAACUAAAUAGGUUUAAUUAGUUUAGUUAAUUGAUUAGUUUACUUAAACAAAAUUAAUUAAUUAAUUAAUAUUUUUAUUUUAUUAUUAUUAUUUUUAACCGUUCAGGGGGCGGGGCCCCACUUGUCAUAGGCCCCAGGGGCCUUAACGAGCGUGCGGGCUACGGGCGUGUGGGCGCUGGCGCCCAGCCCGAACGGGCAUCGAUGCUGGAGCGGGCGCCUGCAGCGGGCGCCGGGCGGCGGAGGAGCAGCGAGGCACUGCGGUGGUGGAGCAGCGCGGGGCCGGUGUCAGAGAAGGCGGGCAGUGGCAGGGCAGCGGGCGCGCUGGAGCAGACGAGCAGUGGAGCGGCGAGCAGGGGGGCAGGCGGCGCGUGGCGACAGCGCGGUGGAGCGGGGUGAAGGGCGCGGGCAGGUGCGGUCGCGCGCGGUGGCGCGACGACGAACCAGCAGAGGCGAGGCAUGGAGAGCGAUGACGGCAUGGCACGCGUGGCUGCGGGCGCGGCCUUCGUCACAGCAGGGCGCCGUGCAUGGCGGCUAGGCGCGAGCAGAGGGGCCCGCGCAGGUGCCGGCGAGGCAAGGGCAAGAGGGGGUGGAGCGGCGAGCGAGGCCGUGGCGGAUGGGAUAGCGCACCAGGGAGGCGGCCAGGGUCGGGUGAGCGUGGAUUCGGGCGCGCGGUCGUGUCGCGCGCGCCGCGUACGGCGCCUGGCAAAGAGGAAAAGGAGGAAGGGCGGCAGCUUACCGGGCCCUGCAGAUGUGCGUACGUGGGCUCGGGGAGGAGGAUGAGAACGGGCGAGGUCGAGGCGGCGGUGUUCCGGGGAGGUGGUCCGGCGAGGAGGAGGAUGGGGACGAGCGACGGUGGGAGGAGAUCCGGCGAGGAGCCAGGGCGUCCAUCCAGCGGCGAGGUGGCGUGGUGUGAGGGAUCGGCUCGAUCCGCGUGAGGCAUGGGUCCCGAGCUCCAAUGCGUCCACGUAGUCGAUGAAGACGACGGAGGCGGUGCUCCCGGCGCAGUCUGAGGCGGCGGGGAGGACGCCGGGCGCGAGGAAAGCGGGGUCGGGGCGUCGAGCGCGACCCGAUCCAGAUCUGGAUCGGGGGGGAGAAGAGGGGAUCGUGGGGGGGGAUGUUAGAAAUAUGCCCUAGAGGCAAUAAUAAAUUGGUUAUUAUUAUAUUUCCUUGUUCAUGAUAAUCGUUUAUUAUCCAUGCUAAAAUUGUAUUGAUAGGAAACUCAGAUACAUGUGUGGAUAAAUAGACAACACCAUGUCCCUAGUAAGCCUCUAGUUGACUAGCUCGUUGAUCAAUAGAUGGUUACGGUUUCCUGACCAAGGACAUUGGAUGUCGUUGAUAACGGGAUCACAUCAUUAGGAGAAUGAUGUGAUGGACAAGACCCAAUCCUAAGCCUAGCACAAGAUCGUGUAGUUCGUCUGCUAAAGCUUUUCUAAUGUCAAGUAUCAUUUCCUUAGACCAUGAGAUUGUGCAACUCCCGGAUACCGUAGGAAUGCUUUGGGUGUGACAAACGUCACAACGUAACUGGGUGGCUAUAAAGGUGCACUGCAUGUAUCUCCGAAAGUGUCUGUUGGGUUGGCACGAAUCGAGAUUGGGAUUUGUCACUCCGUGUAAACGGAGAGGUAUCUCUGGGCCCACUCGGUAGGACAUCAUCAUAAUGUGCACAAUGUGACCAAGGAGUUGAUCACGGGAUGAUGUGUUACGGAACGAGUAAGGAGACUUGCCGGUAACGAGAUUGAACAAGGUAUCGGGAUACCGACGAUCAAAUCUCGGGCAAGUACUAUACCGGUAGACAAAGGGAAUUGUAUACGGGAUUGAUUGAAUCCUUAACAUCGUGGCUCAUCCGAUGAGAUCAUCAUGGAACAUGUGGGAGCCAACAUGGGUAUCCAGAUCCCGCUGUUGGUUAUUGGCCGGAGAUAUGUCUCGGUCAUGACUGCAUGGUUCCCGAGCCCGUAGGGUCUACACACUUAAGGUUCGAUGAUGCUAGGGUUAUAGGGAAAGUAUGUACGCGGUUACCGAAUGUUGUUCGGAGUCCCGGAUGAGAUCCCGGACGUCACGAGGAGUUCCCGAGGUAAAGAUUGAUAUAUAGGAAGUGAGGAUUUGGCCACCGGAAGUGUUCCGGGCAUCACCGGUAAUGUACCGGGACCACCGGAAGGGUCCGGGGGUCCACCGGGAGAGGCCACCAGCCCCAGAGGCUUGCGUGGGCCAAUAGUGGGAAGGGACCAGCCCCUAGGUGGGCUGGGGCGCCCCCCACCAAGGCCCAAGGCGCCUCAAGAGAGGAUGGGGGCAAACCCUAGGGCAGAUGGGCCCUAAGGCCCACCCCAGGUGCGCCUCCCCCUCUCCCCCCUUUGGCCGCCACCCUAGAUGGGAUCUGGGGCUGCCGCACCCCUUGGGGUGGGAACCCUAGAGGGGGCGCAGCCCCCUCCCCUCCCCCUAUAUAUAGUUGAGGUCUAGGGGCUGCCCAACAUGCGAGUUAUUCUCUCCCAGGCGCAGCCAUACCUCUCUCCCUCCUCGUCUCUCGUAGUGCUUGGCGAAGCCCUGCUGGAGUUCCGCGCUCCUCCACCACCACCACGCCGUCGUGCUGCUGCUGGACGGAGUCUUCCCCAACUUCUCCUUCUCCCCUUGCUGGAUCAAGGCGUGGGAGACGUCACCGGGUUGCACGUGUGGUGAACGCGGAGGUGCCGUGGUUCGGCGCUUAGAUCGGAAUCAACCGCGAUCUGAAUCGCUACGAGUACGACUCCUUCAUCCGCGUUCUUGCAACGCUUCCACUUAGGGAUCUACAAUGGUAUGUAGAUGCACUCCCCUUUCCCUCGGUGCUAGAUUACUCCAUAGAUUCAUCUUGGUGAUGCAUAGAAAAUUUUAAAUUUCUACUACGAUCCCCAACAGGGNNNNNNNNNNNNNNNNNNNNNNNNNNNNNNNNNNNNNNNNNNNNNNNNNNNNNNNNNNNNNNNNNNNNNNNNNNNNNNNNNNNNNNNNNNNNNNNNNNNNNNNNNNNNNNNNNNNNNNNNNNNNNNNNNNNNNNNNNNNNNNNNNNNNNNNNNNNNNNNNNNNNNNNNNNNNNNNNNNNNNNNNNNNNNNNNNNNNNNNNNNNNNNNNNNNNNNNNNNNNNNNNNNNNNNNNNNNNNNNNNNNNNNNNNNNNNNNNNNNNNNNNNNNNNNNNNNNNNNNNNNNNNNNNNNNNNNNNNNNNCCUUUUUCUUAUUGACAUUUUGUUUUUCUUAAUUUUUUUCCUUUACUGUUUUAUUGUUAGAUUCUCUUUAUUUUAGUUUUAUAAUUAUAAUCUUAGUUCCUAAAAUAGUAUUACUACUUAUUCUAAUGCCACAUAUCUCAGGCACCCAAAUAAGUUAGUUUAAUAUUUUAUAUUUAUAAAAGGCAUUUAAUUAUUGGUUUUGGCUGAUGUUCUAUUUAAUUUGGAGUAUUUAAACAUUUCAUAAAAAUGUGGUUUCACCAUCAUAAUCAUCUAUGAUUUAUUUGCUAUAAUUUGAACAUUUUAGAUUUGACAUUUGAAAACUAUUAUCGUUUGACUUUUAUUCAAAUUUGAAUUUGGUUCGGUUCUGAACUAACGCGAGAUUAACAACAGUAACCGCGGUGAUGUGCCAUCAUUAACAGGGAAUCACUGUAGCUUAAAUAUCCGGGCGUCACAAUUCUCCUCCACUACAAGAAAUCUCGUCCCGAGAUUUAAGAGGGGGAGUGACGGGGAAGGGAUUUGGUUACGAAAUUCUAACAAGCGUUCUCGAUCUUGGUUGCUCUUCUCGAAGCGAUCGAUCCAUUACGUUGAGGUCUUCAUUUCUCUGCUUCAGGUCAUCAUGAUGAAGUCGACAUCCUUUCUUCGGGAACUACAUCGUACUUACGAAAUAAUAAUAAUAAAAAGAGGGCUAUUCCGGGAGAACAAACCUCGGCAAUGUUGACUAUCUGGCCGAUAACAUCAGGGAAGGUGACGGAAAGUAACUCCCAAAUUGAAACUUAAGAAAAUAUCGAGAGCAAAGUAAGGAGAUCUCAUGGGAACUUUCGAGCGGGCAGGCAAUCGUUCGAUGCCUGUAACAGGGCGUGAAAGGGGCUCAAAGCAACGGGAAAAAGUAUUGUGUCUGGUACCAGAAUUGAUGAUCUCUCGAAAGGUGGCUCGUGAAUUACAUACGCGGCCACGCGUGAGGACUAACUAUGGAAACAUGGGGUGUAUAGGAGAUUCAGGUUUCGAUCCUGUGGAAGUGUGGGUUAUGGGCCCGCCAUUUGGGUUAAAAGUAGAAAGGGCGCUGACAUCUGGCAUGAUCAUGCAAGCAAGGCAUGUCAGAGAAUAGUCUGUCAGUUAUGUUGGCGACAACAUUGGUACCAAGGGCGAGGGACGAAGAGAAUCAUUUUCCGGCUCACUGAAACGAGGCGGACCAAUAGGCAAAGUUCUCGUCCAUCGGUGGUUACCGAAAUGUCAUCAACAACAGUAACACGGUCUUACUGACAAGGUUGUACACCAGGGUGUUUACAUAAGCAGCGAAUCAUUACUGCUUAGAUCAUACAAACACCGAGAAAGGUUAAACAAGACAAUGGAAAGGAAAUGUGAUUAUCAGAUUAAACAGAACAAUGGAAAGGAAAAUGUGUUUAAACACAUAUUUCAGGGGGUAUAUCCUUCCCAAGGACAAGCAGAGCAUGAUAUCCAUGACAGGAUAGAAAGUAGAAAACCAUUUAGGUAAUGGGAGACGAAUUUCAUGACAUUACCCAUAUAAUGGUGUUAGGAUAAUUGAUAAAGAAAAUUUAGCAUUGUGCUUCAAAUGUUCUUAUUGAAGAUCGGAGUACCACAGACAUGCUUCGAGAUAGCAUUGGCAAGGUCUUUAAGCAAAGGUCAAAUUUCGGAUACAUGACGGACCCAUCAGGAACAACUUGUAUAAUAAGUCUUACAAUUUCCUCAUGGAGAAUGGCUAACCUUACAAAAAGAAUACCAUAGCAAUAGGUCCUCCGGCCAGGUGUGCUAGGCAUGACACCACCUUACUGGGUCAUAUAAAGACAAUUGUUAUAACUCUUGGAAAUAGGGAAAAUUUUGUUUUUGCCACUCUAGAUUUCGCCAAUUUUCCUUAUGCCACUCUAGAUUUUGACAUUUCACUUUUGUCAUUCUUAGUUUUUGACAAUUAUCACAAUUGCCAUUCCCGUGGCAAAAGCAAAAUUUUCAGAGUGGCAAUUGUGAUAAUUGUCAAAAGCUAAGAGUGGCAAAAAUGAAAUAAAAUUAUUUUGCUUUUCCCACAGAAUGGCAAUUGUGAUAAUUGUCAAACACUAAGAAUGGCAAAAGUGAAAGGUCAAAAUCUAGAGUGGCAUAAGGAAAAUUGGCGAAAUCUAGAGUGGCAAAAACAAAAUUUUCCUUUGGAAAUAUGUUCCAACCAUCAUAUCUGACCAAGAUUCAUAUCUGAUUGGUGUCAGGAUACCUCAGACUCAGGAGGCCUGAGAAGGAAAGGUGCAACACAAAUUGUCGAGAUGACAUUGCAAAAUUCUCGGGGAAUGAACUAUGGAAGCGAGUUCCGAAACAAGAGUUCAUCGUUAAACCAAGGAGAGAGUGAGGAGUUGGCUGAUAGACUCACCGAAAUUCAUUGAGAUUUCCAAAAAGAUGGGUUUCCACAAUUAUGUGAACAAGGAGAUAACAUUUGUCAGAUCAAAUGGUAUAAGAUAAUGAUGUGUGUUCAAGGAAAACAUACACAAUUAAACAUUGGUUGAAAGGUGCGCCCGAAAUAUGGGCCAAGUAGCAAGAUCAAUGUUGGAAUGGUGAUUCAAUAACCAAAAGACUUAGAAUGAAACUAUCGACCAUUCACUUCAAAGCAAUAGGGUUGCUAGAAGUUUUGAAAUCACACAUCAUAGUUAAAUGGCCGGUAUCCCGGUUAGAAACAACAUGGGGACCAAGAUAUGAACGGAGAUGAUGAGAAGUAUUACUAUAUCAAAAAUUAUUAAGAGGUGGAGCAAUCCUUGCAACAUCCUUGACAUAAAGGAUAGUAAUACUUCAAGGUAGAACAUAAUACAACUGGAUAGCAAGUUGCGUCCAUAACAUGAACAAGUUUCUGAUGAAAGGAAGGUAAAGACGUUGUCGAUGGUAACUCAAAUUACCAAGGGACGAGGAUGGCACUUACCAUCGUGAAUUUGAUUGAUAUCCUGGAAGAUCUCCGAAUGCUGAUGAUGAUCAUGCCACAUUUGUCGAGAGAUUUCAUGAAGAUGUAAUCGAUCGGCAAUGACAUCAAGUUAAAAGAACGAUGAAGCGAAAGGUUACUGGAACCAUGGCUACGACACAAACUCGAAAUCAAGUUUGCUGUUCAAGGAGAAAUGAUAUGACGAGGAAGAUUGACGUAAGAUUAGCUCACCGUCUAAAUUUGUGCUCCGGGAAGAAGGACCAGGUAGCACAAUUAAAAUUAGCACGCUCAUGAAGUAACCGAUCGGGCUAGGAGUGACGUGAUGGAGUAUUAAACAUCUCAACAAAAAAGUACCGGGAGUAUUGAAUCACAAUGUUGAUUCGAUUCACUAAUUGGUGUUCUCGGUUGACGACAACCCAGAACCCGUGGAGUGACUAUGAUGGGGAAAGCUACUACUUCAUCAUAAAUUCAUAACAUGUAGUGCAAUGGGGGUGAUAUCCUCGAGAUAACAGGGGGUAAUACUCGAAGGUAGAUCAAAAUAGAGGUUGGUCAGGCGUACUGAUCUGAGAAGGCAAGUAUUUUACUCGUCUGAGAAAUGGGACCAAAGAAAGACAAUAUGGUUGAAACCAUGAUUGCAAAAGACCAAAUCCCAGAUAUGAUAUGAACCUAUACCAAGGGAAUAAUUAAUUUAAGAGAAGUUUCCAUGAUAAGAUCUGCAUCGUGUCCAUGGGCAUGAACACAAAGUUCAAGGUCGACUCCCACUUCUCCAAUGCAUAAUCAUUCAAUCACCUCUCGUAUUUCGAAAAUGACAUUAGUUUUUGAAAGUUUUACCUGGUGCAAUACUAGAUAAGUAUGGCCCGUGAAAUCUUUCGGGUUCACACAAAUUAGGGAAGGCGUUGGUUCAACCCAUCGGGGCAUCUUAGGAACAAAUACCACAAACUUUGGAGUAAAUAGUACAAGCUCGAAAGUAGAGUAUGGUUAUCAAAGCAGAGGAUACAAAUUGUCAAAGGCAUUAUAUAUCAGGGAAAGAACUUCUCGAGGUUUUUGUAUACGGAGGACACUGUCGAAUGAUAUUUCAACAAAGGAUCCAAUGGUCCAUAGCGAAGCUCAUGUGAGUAUCGGCACACAACCAGAGGAAGAAACAAUGCGAAAGCAUUGGAUGAUAGAAGCAACUGGCUAAUUCAAAGCUCACAUGUAAAGGAGUUAUGAUUUCCAAAUCAAAGGAUUGGAAGCAAACGCUGUGAUUAAGGAUGGAUAAAUUGAGUAACCUUAGGGGUAACAUCGACAACAAUUUAAUUGGUCGAGAUUCAGCUCAUGUUUAAAAUGACGUCUGAGCCGAAAGGAUUAAUUCUAGGAUCUGAUUAAGGAUUGCGAGCAUUCGCAACAUAUUGAAUCAAUGGACUCAAAAUGGGAGUGACAAAGGCUGCCAAUAAGAUUACUAUACUUAUGGGAUUAAUCAUAAUGCAAGCAAGCAAGAAUUUCAAGAGCAAUAGGUUGCUGAGGGUUUUCGAAAGAUCGAAGGGUAUUUUGAAGACUUGUGUGAAAUACGUGAAUCAACUGGGGAUGAGCGGAUACUCGGUAAGUGUGAGAAUUAUCCGUAGGGGUAUUCAGGUGGCUUAGAACUGCAAGGCAAUAAGCUCAAAGGAUUCUCGGAACAACAGAUACUCAGAUAGUAUUUCGGGGCAUCUUGUAAUAACAAGAUCAACGGGGAAUGAUUGUAUGAAUGGCAAGUGUAUGCAGUUUUCAUAGGGGUUGACGGUGGAAGGAAAUCGCAAAUGCAAUCGCACAAAGACUCGAGAGAACAUCAUAGAGUAACUUUGGAAUCUUCUAGUGCAGCAGGCGAUCAUCUGAAGUGAGGGGCUCUCCGGAAGAAAGUAUUUUCGAGAACCUAAAGUUAGUUUUGUUUUUAGCAAACUCAUUUAACCCGAAUAGAAGAGAGCUCAGAGUCCCAGAGUAUAGACGAGGAAUAAAAGAUCCUAAUGUCACCCAAUGGCGACGUGGGCCCGUAAGCCACACAGCCAUGUUAGUAAAAGUUUUUUUAAUGACUAGACUCUACUUCGGCCAAGGAGUUGGAAUGGGGGAUUCCUACAGGCAGUCGGCUCUGAUACCAACUUGUGACGCCCCUGAUUCAAUCGUACACUAAUCAUACACGCAAUCGUGUACGAUCAAGAUCAGGGACUCACGGGAAGAUAUCACAACACAACUCUAAAAUAAAAUAAGUCAUACAAGCAUCAUAAUACAAGCCAGGGGCCUCGAGGGCUCGAAUACAAGUGCUCGACCAUAGACGAGUCAGCGGAAGCAAAAAUAUUUGAGUACAGACACAAGUUAAACAAGUUGCCAUAAGAUGGCUAGCACAAACUGGGAUACAGAUCGAAAGAGACGCAGGCCUCCUUCCUGGGAUCCUCCUAAACUACUCCUGGUCGUCAGCGGCGGCCUGCACGUAGUAGUAGGCACCCUCGUUGCAGUAGGAGUCAUCGAAGGUGGCGUCUAACUCCUGGGCUCCAGCAUCUGGUUGCGACAACCGAGAAGGAUGGAAAGGGGGAAAAGAAGGAGAAAAGCAACCGUGAGUACUCAUCCAAAGUACUAGCAAGCAAGGAUCUACACUACAUAUGCAUGGGUAUCUGUGUGAAGGGGCAAUAUCGGUGGACUGAACCGCGGAAUGCCAGAAUAAGAGGGGGAUAGCUAGUCCUGUUGAAAACUACGCUUCUGGCAGCCUCCAUCUUGCAACAUGUAGAAGAGAGUAGAUGGUAAGUUCACCAAGUAGCAUCGCAUAGCAUAAACUACCCGGCGAUUCUCUCCUCGUCGCCCUGUGAGAGAGUGAUCACCGAGUUGUAUCUGGCACUUGAAAGGGUGUGUUUUAUUAAUAUCCGGUUCUAGUUGUCAUAAGGUCAAGGUACAACUCCGGGUCGUCCUGUUACCGAAGAUCACGGCUAUUCGAAUGGAUUAACUUCCCUGAACGGGUGCACCACAUUACCCAACACGCUCGAUCCCCUUUGGCCGGCCACACUUUUCUGGGUCAUGCCCGGCCUUGGAAGAUCAACACGUCGCAGCCCCACCUAGCCACAACAGAGAGGUCAGCAUGCUGGUCUAACUCCUAUGGAGCAGGGGUCUGGGCCCAUCGCCAUUGCACACCUGCAUGUUGCGAGGGCGGCCGAAAGCAGACCUAGCCUCCCUAAUACAAGAGCAGGUGUUCCAGUCCAAUCCGGCGCGCGCCGCUCUGUCGCUGACGUCAAGAAGGCUUCGGCUGAUACCACGACAUCGAGUGCCCAUAACUAUUCCCGUGUAGUUGGUUAGUGCGUAUAGGCCAGUGGCCAGACUCAGAUCAAAUACCAAGAUCUCGUUAAGCAUGUUAAUUGAUGUAACCGCAGACGCCGACCAGGGACGGGCCCACCUCUCACCCAGGUGGUCUCAACCUGCCCUGUCGCUCCGCCACAAAGUAAUAGUCGGGGGCCGUCGGGAACCCAUGCCCACCUCUACCGGAUUGGAGCCACCUGUCCUUUCAGCCCCCACAUCGGAAUCACUUGCGGGUACUCUACGAGCCGACCCGACUUUAGUCACCACAUGUAUCAUAUAAUAUGUAUGUAAGUAUAUACCCGUGAUCACCUCCCGAGUGAUCACGGCCCGGUAGUAUAGCAUGCCAGACGGACAAGAAUUUAGGGCCACUGAUGGAAUACUAGCAUCCUAUGCUAAGCAUUUAGGAUUGCAGGUAAGGGUAACAACUGUACCAACAAUGACAGGCUAUGUAGCAGAAUAGGAUUAACCGAAAGUAGUAACAUGCUACACUACUCUAAUGCAAGCAGUAGAGAGAAGGAAUAGGCGAUAUCUGGUGAUCAAGGGGGGGCUUGCCUGGUUGCGCUGGCAAGAAGGACGAGUCGUCAACACCGUAGUCGAACUGGGGGCCGCCGGCAGCCUCGGGGUCUACCAAAAAGAAGUAACGGAGGGGGAACACAAUAAAUAACAGAGCAAUCAAAGCAUUACAAAGUGUAACAUGGCAAUACGCGGUGCUAGAGGUGACCUAACGCAGUAGUAGGUGAUGCCGGCGAAGGGGGGAAACAUCCGGGAAAGUAUCCCCGGUGUUUCGCGUUUUUGAACAAACGGACCGGAGGGGAAAAGUUGCGUGUUUGCUAUGCUAGGAUUGUGUGGCGGACGAACGGGCUACGUAUUCGGAUUCGUCUCGUCGUUCUGAGCAACUUUCAUGUACAAAGUAUUUUCAUCCGAGCUACGGAUUAUUUUAUAUUAAUUUUUAAAGUUUUAAUUCAUUUUUAGAAUUAACAGAAUUAAUUUAAUUAGAAAAUGUAAUUAUGACGUCAGCAUGAUGUCAGGGUGAUGUCAGUAGUCAACUAGUCAGUUAACCUAGUCAAACUGACGUGUGGGUCCCACUGUCAUUGUCUAAGACUAACUAAAUAGGUUUAAUUAGUUUAGUUAAUUGAUUACUUUACUUAAACAAAAUUAAUUAAGUUAAUUAAUUAAUUAAUCAAUUAAUAUUUUUGUUUUAUUGUUAUUAUUUUUAAACGUUCAGGGGGCGGGGCCCCACUUGUCAUAGGCCCCAGGGGCCUUAGCGAGCGUGCGGGCUACGGGCGUGCGGGCGCAGGGGCGUUGGUGCCCAGCGGAAAAAAAUCCUAUACGACCGGGUCGUACGGACCCGAUCGUGAGACCCAGUCGAGCGUGCGCCAACUGGCCGUCCGAAUCUCAAUGCAACAACAGUCUCCUUCCCCACUUUAUUUCUAAAUUAGUACGAUUCUAAUCUCUCCAACGCCUCGAAAAUCCAGCCGCCGGUCAUGCCAUUCUCGUCGCCACCGCCUGACGGCACGAUGCACCCGCAACACCUUCCCCUGGGAGCCUUGCCGCCGACGGUGCCGGGCGCGGUGGUGCCAAUCAGCGGCGGCCAUGGCGUGCUCCCGUUCGGGUUGGGCAUGGGCACCAUGGAUAAGGGCAGGUGGUGUUCGGGCAACCGCUGGAGAUCCGCACCAGAGUGGUACGGUAAUCCUGUUCUGGAGGUCAUGUUACUUGACAAUGACGAACCUACGAACUUUGAGGAAGCGAUGAUGAGCCCAGAUUCCGCGAAAUGGCUUGAGGCCAUGAAAUCUGAGAUGGGAUCCAUGUAUGAGAACAACGUGUGGACUUCGGUUGACUUGCCCGAUGAUCGGCAAGUCAUAGAAAAUAAAUGGAUCUUCAAGAGGAAGACGGACGCUGAUAGUAGUGUUACUCUCUACAAAGCUAGACUUGUCGAAAAAUGUUUUGACAAAGUUCAAGGUGUUGACUACGAUGAGAUUUUCUCACUCGUAGCGAUGCUUAAGUCUGUCCGAAUCAUGUUAGCAAAUUGCCACAUUUUAUGAGAUCUGGCAAAUGGAUGUCAAAACUACAUUCCUUAAUGGAUUUCUGAAAGAAGAGUUGUAUAUGAUGCAACCAGAAGGUUUUGUCGAUCCUAAAGGUGCUAACAAAAUGUGCAAGCUCCAACGAUCCAUCUAUGGACUGGUGCAAGCAUCUCAGAGUUGGAAUAUACGCUUUGAUGAGUUGAUCAAAGCAUAUAGUUUUAUACAGACUUGCGGUGAAGCUUGUAUUUACUAGAAAGUGAAUGGGAGCACUACAUCAUUUCUGAUAAAUAUAUGUGAAUGACAUAUUGUUGAUCGGAAAUAAUGUAGAAUUUUCUGGAAAGCAUAAAGGAGUAUUUGAAAGGAGUUUUUCAAAGAAAGACCUCGGUGAAGCUACUUAGAUAUUGAGCAUCAAGAUCUAUAGAGAUAGAUCAAGAUGCUUGAUAAGUUUUUUCAAUGAGUACAUACCUUGACAAGAUUUUGAAGUAGUUCAAAAUGGAACAAUCAAAUAAAGAAUUCUUGCGUGUGUUACAAGGUGUGAAAUUGAGUAAGACUCAAAGCCCGACCACGGCAGAAGAUAGAAAGAGAAUGAAAGUCAUUCCCUAUGCCUCAGCCAUAGGUUCUAUAAAGUAUGCCAUGCUGUGUACCAGAUCUAUUGUAUACCCUACACUGAGUUUGGCAAGGGAGUACAAUAGUGAUCUAGGAGUAGAUCACUGAACAACGGUCAAAAUUAUCCUUAGUGGAAUAAGGAUAUGUUUCUCGAUUAUGGAGGUGACAAAAGGUUCGUCGUAAAGGGUUACGUCGAUGCAAGUUUUGACACUGAUCCAGGUGACUCUAAGUCUCAAUCUGGAUACAUAUUGAAAGUAGGAGCAAUUAGCUAAAGUAGCUCCGUGCAGAGCAUUGUAGACAUAGAAAUUUGCAAAAUAAAUACGGAUCUGAAUUUGGCAGACCCGUUGACUAAAGUUAUCUCGCAAGCAAAACAUGAUCACACCUUCGUACUCUUUGGGUGUUAAUCACAUGGCGAUGUGAACUAGAUUACUAACUCUAGUAAACCCUUUGAGUGUUGGCCACAUGGCGAUGUGAACUAUGGAUAUUAAUCACAUGGUGAUGUGAACUAUUAGUGUUAAAUCACAUGCCGAUGUGAACUAGAUUAUUGACUCUAGUGCAAGUGGGAGACUGAAGGAAAUAUGCCCUAGAGGCAAUAAUAAAGUUGUUAUUUAUAUUUCCUUAUAUCAAGAUAAAUGUUUAUUAUUCAUGCUAGAAUUGUAUUUAGACAAACUUACUAGCUCUACUUACAUGUGUGACUACUUAGACAAACAGAGUGUCACUAGUAUGCCUCUACUUACUAGCUCGUUGAAUCAAAGAUGGUUAAGUUUCCUAGCCAUAGACAUGAGUUGUCAUUUGAUUAACGGGAUCACAUCAUUAGAGAAUGAUGUGAUUGACUUGACCCAUUCCGUUUGCUUAGCACUUGAUCGUUUAGUAUGUUGCUAUUGCUUUCUUCAUGACUUAUACAUGUUCCUAUGACUAUGAGAUUAUGCAAGUCCUGAAUACCAGAGGAACACCUUGUGUGCUAUCAAACGUCACAACGUAACUGGGUGAUUAUAAAGAUGCUCUACAGGUGUCUCCGAAGGUGUUUGUUGGGUUGGCAUAGAUCGAGAUUAGGAUUUGUCACUCCGAGCAUCGGAGAGGUAUCUCUGGGCCCUCUCCGUAAUGCACAUCACUAUAAGCCUUGCAAGCAAUGUAACCAAUGAGUUAGUUGCGGGAUGAUGCAUUACCGAACGAGUAAAGAGACUUGCCGCUAACGAGAUUGAACUAGGUAUUGAGAUACCGACGAUCGAAUCUCGGGCAAGUAACAUACCGAUGACAAAGGGAACAACGUAUAUUGUUAUGCGGUUUGACCGAUAAAGAUCUUCGUAUAAUAUGUAGGAGCCAAUAUGAGCAUCCAGGUUCCGCUAUUGUUUAUUGACCAGAGAUGAGUCUCGGUCAUGUCUACAUAGUUCUCGAACCCGUAGGGUCCGCAUGCUUAACGUUCGGUGACGAUCGAUAUUAUGAGUUUAUGUGUUUUGAUAUACCGAAGGUUGUUCGGAGUCCCGGAUGAGAUCAGGGACAUGACGAGGAGUCUCGAAAUGUUCGAGACGUAAUGAUCGAUAUAUUGGAAGGCUAUAUUCGGACCAUCGGAAAGGUUCUGAGUGGUUCGGGUAUUUAUCGGAGUACCGGAGAGUUACGGGAAUUCGCCGGGGAGUAUAUGGGCCUUAUUGGGCUUUAGGGGAGAGAGAGAGGCAGGCUGCGCGCCCCCCCAAGGCCUAGUCCGAAUUGGACUAGGGGGAGGGGCGGCGCCCCCUCCUUCCUUCUCUUCUCUCUUCCCCUUCCUUCUCUCCUACUCCUACUACUUGGAAGGGGGGGAAUCCUACUCCCGGUGGGAGUAGGACUCCCCAGGGCGCGCCAUAGUAGAGGGCCGGCCCUCCCCCUCCUCCACUCCUUUAUAUACGGGGGAGGGGGGCACCCCAUAGACACACAAGUUGAUCAUUGAUCUCUCUUAGCCGUGUGCGGUGCCCCCUCCACCAUAAUCCACCUCGGUCAUAUCGUAGCGGUGCUUAGGCGAAGCCCUGCAUGGGUAACUUCAUCAACACCGUCAUCACGCCGUCGUGCUGAUGAAGCUCUUCCCCGAAGCUCUACUGGAUCGUGAGUUCGCGGGACGUCACCGAGCUGAACGUGUGCUGAACACGGAGGUGCCGUACGUUCGGUACUGAGGAUCGGUUGAUCGUGAAGACGUACGACUACAUCAACCACGUUGUCAUAAAGCAUCUGCUUUCGGUCUACGAGGGUACGUAGACAACACUCUCCCCUCUCGUUGCUAUGCAUCACCAUGAUCUUGCGUGUGCGUAGGAAUUUUUUUGAAAGUACUACGUUCCCCAACACCCUAUGCAUGCAUCCCCGCAUACGCCGUAUCUCCCUUGUGCUUGCCUCAGGUUGGCUCCACGGAAACAACCGACUAGAGUGUUCCUAACGAGCCAGGCGCUAGGGUGAUUUAAGUUCCAUGCGUGUGUGGGCCGGCGGCUCGUGUGAGCUGUUGGGGAUCGUUGCAGAAAUUAAAAAAUUUCUACACACCACCAGGAUCAAUCUAUGGAGUUUACUAGCAACGAGAGGGGAGUGCAUCUUCAUACCUUUGAAGAUCGUGACACGGAAGCGUUACAAGAACGGGGAUGAGGGAGUCGUACUCGUAGCAAUUCAGAUCGCGGUUGAUUCCGAUCUAAGCGUCGAACAACAGCGCCUCCGCGUUCAACACACGUGCAGCCCGGUGACGUCUCCCACGCCUUGAUCCAGCAAGGAGAGAGGGAGAGGUUGGGGAAGACUCCGUUCAGCAGCACCACGAUAGCGUGGUGGUGUUGGAGCAGCGUGGUACUCCGGCAAGGCUUCGCCAAGCUUCGCGGGAGGAGGAGGAGGUGUUGGGGAGGGGGAGGGCUGCGCCUUGGAUGUGGUGCGACUGCCCUCCCACCCCCCUCUAUUUAUAGGGGCAAGGGAGAGGGGCCCGGCCCCCUCUAGAUGGAUCUAGAGGGGGGCGGCGGCCAAGGGGGGAGGCUUGCCCCCCAAGCCAAGGGGGGCGCCCAUUUUACGGUUUCCCCCAAACCGUAGGCGCAUGGGCCCUAGGGGGGUUUGGCGCCCAGCCCACCUAGGGGCUGGUUCCCCUCCAUAUUCAGCCCAUAGGGCCCUCCGGGGAAGGUGGACCCUCCCGGUGGACCCCCGGAACCCUUUCGGUGGUCCCGGUACAAUACCGAUAGACCCCCGAACACUUCCGACGACCGAAUAAGGACUUCACAUAUAUAAAUCUUCAUCUCCGGACCAUUCUGGAACUCCUCGUGACGUCCGGGAUCUCAUCCGGGACUCCGAACAACAUUCGGUAACCACGCACAAACUUUCCCUAUAACCCUAGCGUCAUCGAACCGUAAGUGUGUAGACCCUACGGGUUCGGGAGUCAUGCAGACAUGACCGAGACAUCUCUCCGGCCAAUAACCAACAGCAGGAUCUGGAUACCCAUGUUGGCUCCCACAUGUUCCACGACGAUCUCAUCGGAUGAACCACGAUGUCGAGGAUUCAAUCAAUCCCGUAUACAAUUCCCUUUGUCAAUCGGAACGUUACUUGCCCGAGAUUCGAUCGUCGGUAUACCGAUACCUUGUUCAAUCUCCUUACGGCAAGUCUCUUUACUCGUUCCGUAACACAUCAUCCCGUGACCAACCCCUAAGUCACAUUGAGCUCAUUAUGAUGAUGUCUUACCGAGUGGGCCCAGAGAUACCUCUCCGUCAUACGGAGUGACAAAGCCCAGUCUCGAUUCGUGCCAACCCAACAGAUACUUUUAGGGAUACCCGUAGUGUACCUUUAUAGCCACCCAGUUACGUUGUGACGUUUGGCACACCCAAAGCAUUCCUACGGUAUCCGGGAGUUGCACAAUCUCAUGGUCUAAGGAAAUGAUACUUGACAUUAGAAAAGCUUUAGCAGACGAACUACACGAUCUUGUGCUAUGCUUAGGGUUGGGUCUUGUCCAUCAGACCAUUCUCCUAAUGAUGUAAUCCCGUUAUCAACGACAUCCAAUGUCCAUGGUCAGGAAACCGUAACCAUCUAUUGAUCAAUGAGCUAGUCAACUAGAGGCUCACUAGGGACAUGUUGUGGUCUAUGUAUUCACACAUGUAUUAUGAUUUCCGGAUAACACAAUUAUAGCAUGAACAAUAGACAAUUAUCAUGAACAAGGAAAUAUAAUAAUAACCAUUUUAUUAUUGCCUCUAGGGCAUAUUUCCAACAGUCUCCCACUUGCACUAGAGUCAAUAAUCUAGUUACGUUGUGAUGAAUCGAACACCCAUAGAGUUCUGGUGUUGAUCAUGUUUUACUCGUGGAAGAGGUUUAGUCAAUGGAUCUGCGACAUUCAGGUCCGUAUGCACUUUACAAAUAUCUAUGUCUCCACCUUGAACAUUUUCACGAAUGGAGUUGAAGCGACGCUUGAUAUGCCUGGUCUUCUUGUGAAACCUGGGCUCCUUGGCCAGGGCAAUAGCACCAGUGUUGUCACAGAAGAGAGUCAUCGGGCCCGAUGUAUUGGGAAUAACUCCUAGGUCGGUAAUGAACUCCUUCAUCCAGAUUGCUUCAUGUGCUGCCUCCGAGGCUGCCAUGUACUCCGCUUCACAUGUAGAUCCCGCCAUGACGCUUUGCUUGCAACUGCACCAGCUGACUGCCCCACCAUUCAAAAUAUACACGUAUCCGGUUUGUGACUUAGAGUCAUCCAGAUCUGUGUCGAUGCUAGCGUCGACGUAACCCUUUACGACGAGCUCUUCGUCACCUCCAUAAGCGAGAAACAUAUCCUUAGUCCUUUUCAGGUACUUCAGGAUAUUCUUGACCGUUGUCCAGUGUUCCAUGCCGGGAUUACUUUGGUACCUUCCUACCAAACUUACGGCAAGGUUUACAUCAGGUCUGGUACACAGCAUGGCAUACAUAAUAGACCCUAUGGCCGAGGCAUAGGGGAUGACAGUCAUCUUUUCUCUAUCUUCUGCCGUGGUCGGGCAUUGAGCCGUGCUCAAUCUCACACCUUGCAAUACAGGCAAGAACCCCUUCUUGGACUGAUCCAUAUUGAACUUCUUCAAUAUCUUUUCAAGGUACGUGCUUUGUGAAAGACCAAUGAGGCGUCUCGAUCUAUCUCUAUAGAUCUUGAUGCCUAAUAUAUAAGCAGCUUCUCCAAGGUCCUUCAUUGAAAAACACUUAUUCAAGUAGGCCUUUAUGCUUUCCAAGAAUUCUAUAUCAUUUCCCAUCAAUAGUAUGUCAUCCACAUAUAAUAUGAGAAACGCGACAGAGCUCCCACUCACUUUCUUGUAAACACAGGCUUCUCCAUAAGUGUGCGUAAACCCAAACGCUUUGAUCAUCUCAUCAAAGCGAAUGUUCCAACUCUGAGAUGCUUGCACCAGCCCAUAGAUUGAGCGUUGGAGCUUGCACACCUUGUCAGCAUUCUUAGGAUUGACAAAACCUUCUGGCUGCAUCAUAUACAAUUCUUCCUUAAGGAAACCAUUAAGGAAUGCCGUUUUGACAUCCAUUUGCCAUAUCUCAUAAUCAUAGAACGCGACAAUUGCUAACAUGAUUCGGACGGACUUCAGCUUCGCUACGGGUGAGAAAGUCUCAUCGUAGUCAACCCCUUGAACUUGUUGAUAACCCUUAGCGACAAGUCGAGCCUUAUAGAUGGUCACAUUAGCAUCCGCGUUUGUCUUCUUCUUAAAGAUCCAUUUAUUUUCUAUGGCUCGCCGAUCAUCGGCCAAGUCAGUCAAAGUCCAUACUUCGUUUUCAUACAUGGAUCCUAUCUCGGAUUUCAUGGCUUCAAGCCAUUUGUCGGAAUCCGGGCCCGCCAUCGCUUCUUCAUAGUUCGAAGAUUCACCAUUGUCUAACAACAUGAUUUCCAGGACAGGGUUACCGUACCACUCUGGUGCGGAACGUGUCCUUGUGGACCUACGAAGUUCAGUAGUAACUUGAUCCGAAGUUCCUUCAUCAUCAUCAUUAACUUCCUCUCCAGUUGGUGCAGGCACCGCAGAAACAUUUUCCUGCACUGCGCUACUCUCCGGUUCGAGAGGCGGUACUUCAUCAAUUUCCACUUUCCUCCCACUUACUUCUUUCGAGAGAAACUCUUUCUCUAGAAAGGAUCCAUUUUUGGCAACAAAGAUCUUGCCUUCGGAUCUGAGGUAGAAGGUAUACCCAAUAGUUUCCUUAGGUAUCCUAUGAAGACGCAUUUUUCCGACUUGGGUUCGAGCUUUUCAGGUUGAAGUUUCUUGACAUAAGCAUCGCAUCCCCAAACUUUCAGAAACGACAGCUUAGGUUUCUUCCCAAACCAUAAUUCAUACGGUGUCGUCUCAACGGAUUUCGACGGAGCCCUAUUUAAAGUGAAUGCGGCAGUCUCUAAAGCAUAUCCCCAAAAUGAUAGCGGUAGGUCGGUAAGAGACAUCAUAGAUCGCACCAUGUCCAACAGAGUGCGAUUACGACGUUCGGACACACCAUUACGCUAAGGUGUUCCAGGCGGCGUGAGUUGUGAAACAAUUCCACAUUUCCUUAAGUGCGUGCCAAAUUCAUGACUCAAAUAUUCUCCCCCAUGAUCUGAUCAUAAGAACUUUAUUUUCCUGUCACGUUGAUUCUCAACCUCACUCUGAAAUUCGUUGAACUUUUCAAAGGUCUCAGACUUGUGUUUGAUUAAGUAGACAUACCCAUAUCUACUUAAGUCAUCAGUGAGGGUGAGAACAUAACGAUAACCACCGCGAGCCUCAACGCUCAUUGGACCGCACACAUCAGUAUGUAUGAUUUUCAAUAAGUUGGUUGCUCGCUCCAUUGUUCCGGAGAACGGAGUCUUGGUCAUUUUGCCCAUGAGGCAUGGUUCGCACGUGUCAAAUGAAUCAUAAUCAAGAGACUCCAAAAGUCCAUCUGCAUGGAGUUUCUUCAUGCGUUUGACACCAAUGUGACCAAGGCGGCAGUGCCACAAGUAUGUGGGACUAUUAUUAUCAACCUUACAUCUUUUGGCAUUCACACUAUGAAUAUGUGUAACAUCACGUUCGAGAUUCAAUAAGAAUAAACCAUUGACCAGCGGGGCAUGACCAUAAAACAUAUCUCUCAUAUAAAUAGAACAACCAUUAUUCUCAGAUUUAAAUGAGUAGCCAUCUCGCAUUAAACGAGAUCCAGAUACAAUGUUCAUGCUCAAAGCUGGCACUAAAUAACAGUUAUUGAGGUUUAAAACUAAUCCCGUAGGUAAAUGUAGAGGUAGCGUGCCGACGGCGAUCACAUCGACCUUGGAACCAUUCCCGAUGCGCACCGUCACCUCGUCCUUCGCCAGUCUCCGCUUAUUCCGCAGCUCAUGUUUUGAGUUAAAAAUAUGAGCAACCGCACCGGUAUCAAAUACCCAGGAGCUACUACGAGCGCUGGUAAGGUACACAUCAAUAACAUGUAUAUCACAUAUACCUUUCGUAUUGCCGGCCUUCUUAUCCGCUAAGUACUUGGGGCAGUUCCGCUUCCAGUGACCGUUUCCCUUGCAAUAAAAGCACUCAGUCUCAGGCUUGGGUCCAUGCUUUGGCUUCUUCCCGGCAACUGGCUUACCGGGCGCGGCAACCCCCUUGCCGUCCUUCUUGAAGUUCUUCUUACCCUUGCCUUUCUUGAAACUAGUGGUUUUAUUGACCAUCAACACUUGAUGUUCCUUUUUGAUCUCCACCUCCGCUGAUUUCAGCAUUGAAUAUACCUCAGGAAUGGUCUUUUCCAUCCCCUGCAUAUUGAAGUUCAUCACAAAGCUCUUGUAGCUAUGUGGGAGCGGCUGAAGGAUUCUGUCAACGACCGCGUCAUCCGGGAGAUUAACUCCCAGCUGAGAUAAGCGAUUGUGUAACCCAGACAUUUUGAGUAUGUGCUCGCUGACAGAACUAUUCUCCUCCAUCUUACAACUGUAGAACUUGUCGGAGACUUCAUAUCUCUCAACCCGGGCAUGAGCUUGGAAAACCAUUUUCAGCUCUUGGAACAUCUCAUAUGCUCCGUGCUGCUCAAAAUACUUUUGGAGCCCCGGUUCUAAGCUGUAAAGCAUGCCGCACUGAACCAGGGAGUAAUCAUCACUACGCGACUGCCAGGCGUUCAUAACGUCUUGAGUUGCUGGGAAAACAGGUGCAUCACCUAGCGGUGCUUCAAGGACAUAUGCUUUCUUGGCAGCUAUGAGGAUAAUCCUCAGGUUACGGAACCAGUCCGUGUAGUUGCUACCAUCGUCUUUCAGCUUGGUUUUCUCUAGGAACGCGUUGAAGUUGAGGGCAACAUUAGCGUGGGCCAUUUGAUCUACAAGACAUAUUGCAAAGUUUUAGACUAUGUUCAUGAUAAUUAAGUUCAUCUAAUCAAAUUAUUUAAUGAACUCCCACUCAGAUAGACAUCCCUCUAGUCAUCUAAGUGAUACAUGAUCCGAGUCAACUAGGCCGUGUCCGAUCAUCACGUGAGACGGACUAGUCAUCAUCGGUGAACAUCUUCAUGUUGAUCGUAUCUUCUAUACGACUCAUGUUCGACCUUUCGGUCUUCCGUGUUCCGAGGCCAUGUCUGUACAUGCUAGGCUCGUCAAGUCAACCUAAGUGUAUUGCGUGUGUAAAUCUGGCUUACACCCGUUGUAUGCGAACGUUAGAACCUAUCACACCCGAUCAUCACGUGGUGCUUCGGAACAACGGACCUUAGCAACGGUGCACAGUUAGGGGGAACACAAUUCUUGAUAUUUUAACGAGGGAUCAUCUUAUUUAUGCUACCGUCGUUCUAACCAAAUAAGAUGUAAAAACAUGAUAAACAUCACAUGCAAUCAAAUAGUGACAUGAUAUGGCCAAUAUCAUUUUGCUCCUUUUGAUCUCCAUCUUCGGGGCGCCAUGAUCAUCAUCGUCACCGGCAUGACACCAUGAUCUCCAUCAUCAUGAUCUCCAUCAUCAUGUCUUCAUGAAGUUGUCUCGCCAAUCAUUACUUCUAUUAUUAUGGCUAACGGUUAGCAAUAAAGUAAAGUAAUUACAUGGCGUUUUUAGUGACACGCAGGUCACACAAUAAAUCAAGACAACUCCUAUGGCUCCUGCCGGUUGUCAUACUCAUCGACAUGCAAGUCGUGAUUCCUAUUACAAGAACAUGAUCAAUCUCAUACAUCACAUAUAUCAUUCAUCACAUCCUUUUGGCCAUAUCACAUCACAUGGCAUAUGCUGCAAAAACAAGUUAGACGUCCUCUAAUUGUUGUUGCAAUUUUUUUACGUGGCUGCUAUAGGUUUCUUAGCAAGAACGUUUCUUACCUACGCCAAAACCACAACGUGAUAUGCCAAUUUCUAUUUACCCUUCAUAAUGACCCUUUUCAUCGAAUCCGAUCCGACUAAAGUGGGAGAGACAGACACCCGCUAGCCACCUUAUGCAACUAGUGCAUGUCAGUCGGUGGAACCUGUCUCACGUAAGCGUACGUGUAAGGUCGGUCCGGGCUGCUUCAUCCCACGAUGCCGCCGAAUCAAGAUAACACUAGUAACGGCAAGUAAAUUGACAAAAUCGACGCCCACAACAACUUGUGUUCUACUCGUGCAUAGGAACUACGCAUAGAGCUAGCUCAUGAUACCACUGUUGGGGAUCGUUGCAGAAAUUAAAAAAUUUCUACGCAUCACCAGGAUCAAUGUAUGGAGUUUACUAGAAACGAGAGGGGAGUGCAUCUUCAUACCUUUGAAGAUCGCGACAUGGAAGCGUUACAAGAACGCGGAUGAGGGAGUCGUACUCGUAGCGAUUCAGAUCGCGGUUGAUUCAGAUCUAAGCGUCGAACAACGGCGCCUCCGCGUUCAACACACGUGCAGCCCGGUGUUGUCUCCCACGCCUUGAUCGAGCAAGGAGAGAGGGAGAGGUUGGGGAAGACUCCGUCCAGCAGCAGCACGACGGCGUGGUGGUGUUGGAGCAGCGUGGUACUCCGGCAGGGCUUCGCCAAGCUUCGCGGGAGGAGGAGGAGGUGUUGGGGAGGGGGAGGGCUGCGCCUUGGAUGUGGUGCGGCUGCCCUCCCACCCCCUCUAUUUAUAGGGGCAAGGGAGAGGGGGCCGGACCCCUCCAGAUGGAUCUAGAGGGGGGCGGUGGCCAAGGGGGGAGGCUUGCCCCCCAAGCCAAGGGGGGCGCCCCCUUUAGGGUUUCCCCCAAACCGUAGGCGCAUGGGCCCUAGGGGGUUUGGCGCCCAGCCCACCUAGGGGCUGGUUCCCCUCUAUAUUCAGCCCAUAGGGCCCUCUGGGGCAAGUGGACCCUCCCGGUGGACCCCCGGAACCCUUUCGGUGGUCCCGGUACAAUACCGAUAGACCCCCGAACACUUCCGGCGACCGAAUAAGGACUUCCCAUAUUUAAAUCUUUGUCUCCGGACCAUUCUGGAACUCCUCGUGACGUCCGGCAUCUCAUCCGGGACUCCGAACAACAUUCGGUAACCACGCACAAACUUUCCCUAUAACCCUAGCGUCAUCGAACCUUAAGUGUGUAGACCCUACGGGUUCGGGAGUCAUGCAGACAUGACCGAGACAUCUCUCCGGCCAAUAACCAACAGCGAGAUCUGGAUACCCAUGUUGGCUCCCACAUGUUCCACGAUGAUCUCAUCGGAUGAACCACGAUGUCGAGGAUUCAAUCAAUCCCGUAUACAAUUCCCUUUGUUAAUCGGUACGUUACUUGCCCGAGAUUCGAUCGUCGGUAUACCGAUACCUUGUUCAAUCUCCUUACGGCAAGUCUCUUUACUCGUUCCGUAACACAUCAUCCCGUGACCAACCCCUUAGUCACAUUGAGCUCAUUACGAUGAUGUCUUACCGAGUGGGCCCAGAGAUACCUCUCUGUCAUACGGAGUGACAAAUCCCAGUCUCGACUCGUGCCAACCCAACAGAUACUUUCGGGGAUACCCGUAGUGUACCUUUAUAGCCACCCAGUUACGUUGUGACGUUUGGCACACCCAAAGCAUUCCUACGGUAUCCGGGAGUUGCACAAUCUCAUGGUCUAAGGAAAUGAUACUUGACAUGAGAAAAGCUUUAGCAGACGAACUACACGAUCUUGUGCUAUGCUUAGGAUUGGGUCUUGUCCAUCACAUCAUUCUCCUAAUGAUGUAAUCCCGUUAUCAACGACAUCCAAUGUCCAUGGUCAGGAAACCGUAACCAUCUAUUGAUCAACGAGCUAGUCAACUAGAGGCUCACUAGGGACAUGUUGUGGUCUAUGUAUUCACACAUGUAUUACGAUUUCCGGAUAACACAAUUAUAGCAUGAACAAUAGACAAUUAUCAUGAACACGGAAAUAUAAUAAUAACCAUUUUAUUAUUGCCUCUAGGGCAUAUUUCCAACAUGAGCAACCAAUUUUUUUAUCCGAUAGGCCUUUUUUGGCGGGGGGAGGGGCUUCAAGGAACCAAGCACGCCCUAUUGCUACUCCGCUGCAUUACCAUGCAGUAGUUCCAUGGGACCAACUGGUGACUCGGCAGAAGCCCAUACACAUGAUGUAAGACCAAAAAAUGAUGCAAGGAUAUCUCCCCUUUUGUUAAUAUACAUUAUUGCUAGAUGGAGACAGUAAUAUUUAAAUUAUGUAUGUUAUCUUAAUUCUCUCUCUAACACACCCUUGAUUGGAAAUUUCCAUGCAUGCUUUAGUUAUUAGUAUAGUUGGUUUCACGGUUAGGCAAGAAUGGUAAAGAACAUCACAAGGCCAUGAACUGGUAAUGUUAAUAUUACUAUGAAAGUAUUAGAGUUCCCUAAAAAAUAGAAGUAUUGGAGUACUAAUUCUUUUUCUACAAUUCAAAUCAAUAUAUUAUCAUUAAUGCCUCAUGUACUUGCUCUGGUAUUUAGUCACAAGAUCAUAUAUUAAUUCACACUCACCUACUCCUUCAAAGACAGAUAGAGAAAAUAUUUAUGUCCUUAUUUUGUACACCUUCUAACAUACAUAUAAGUAUUACGACCUCCAUUUGCUGCAUAGGCUAAGAUGGGAGCACAUUGCAAACUUAGAUCUAGUUACAAAGGUAGAGCCGGCCAAGCAUCUUCUAGUUUGCACUACUAGAGAAACUAAAGCUUCCACAUAUGGUGAUUUAGAACUAAUGUUGGGAAUGAGGGGAGCCAGAAAACAUUCUCUUUGGAUGAGCCCACGAUAUGGGGAAGCACCUCCUGAUCAUGAAAUCCAUUAUCAACUUGUCACAUAAUAGUCUUAGCACCAUCACUUUAUGCGUGAUACCGUAUUGGCGUGUAACCAUUCUGAACUAUCUAUGUCUUCCAUUGUUGCGGGUGGUGAGUCUUCCCUGGUUGCGGGUGGUGAGUCUUCCCUGGUUGCGGGUGGUGAGUGCCACCAAGAAGAUGAUGAUAACUUCUCCGCUCGUGAGUUGGAGCUCUUUUACAUCACUCUAUUGCUCCUCAACCGUAGAUAUGAGUAGCAGGACCAUCCAUACGUAAGGGUAACUUGGUCAUUUUCGACAGGGUAUAUUAGAAAUUUCAUGUUAUUCCAAUUCAUCCCACUACUCCACAAGUGCCUCUAAACAAAUUAAUAGCUUGCAAUUGUUUGCCCUGCGUAGCAUCCAUUGACUAGUGCUUCCAAUGCCAAUGUCGAGCCACCACCAUCCUUCACCAGCAUUGACUCGCAUCACGACCACAUCUUAAAUCAAGUGCAUGCAAAUAUUUAGGGAGAAUGCAUGCGUAUUUGCUUUACUUACAUAACAGAAGUAAAAGCAAGGCAACAAUUUAUGUUGUGACACCAAAAAAUCCAAUAUCUGAAAGUGGCUCUGAAGAAAAUCAUCUCCACGAACGAUACAAAAAGUACGAUGUGCGGUUUUCUAAUAUAUUUACUUAAUGCAAAAUUAAGAUGAGAUGGACAUUGCUUCAGUUAACAAUCUGCACACUAUCGGUGCACGAGCUUAUCGUUAUUGUAGUUUUCUGAAGGACAGGCUUUGCACAUGUCCGUAGGACUGGAACCCAGAGCCGCAGUCAUCACUGUUGAAGUAUUGAAUCAAUCUGCAACGUGUGACAACAGAUCUCGACGUUGUCCAAGUAUGACGAGAAAUCCUAACCCCGUCGUCCCAAGGAGACGAUAAAAAUCUAUGUCAGAACUACAACUACGUCGACCUAAUCCUGCCGAUGAAGUUGAGGACGAUCAGUGCCUGAAAGACCAGCUCGAAGAUGAAGCACUGCCAUUUGCCUAAGCGUCGCCCUUGCGGGGACUAAAUACCCAUAACCCAAACUACAAGCCGGAGCCGAGGCACCGGGAUUCCAUCUGCCAACGGACACCGAAGCAGUAGUCAGGGGAGGCAAAUUCAAGGGUACACCGGCGAAGCCUGAAGGGGACUGUGUUUGUAGGUAAGCCCACUUAAAUUACCAGUAGAUGUGUACCUCGGGAGUUAUGAGUGAAUGAUCGUAUAGUUACGGCUCUCUUUGAUUCACAAGAUUCUUUCAACACCGGAGUAAAAAAUUGUACGACUAGUGCCAUGUCCUCUUGAAUUCUGUAGAAUCGAAAACCUACACAAAUUUGGAUGAAGGAGUGCUUCAUAGCAUAGGAAAAAUGGUGAAAUUCUUAAGAAAUGGCUUGAGUGGAUGGAAAUUUUCCUCCAAAAUACUCCCUCCGUCCCAUAAUAUAAGAACGUUUUUGACACUAGACUAGUGUCAAAAACGUUCUUAUAUUAUGAGACGGAGGGAGUAGAAUGCAAUGGAAUUCAAAGGAAAAGUUCCAAAGAAUUGCAAUCAUGUGAAUCAAACUGCAACGCAUGAAAAGAUUCCUAAGGAUUUAAAUCCUCUAAAUUUCUACAAAAUUCCUGUGAAUCAAAGGAGCUCUAAACAUGUUUUGUGCAUAACUAGUAGAACGUCUUGAAGGAGACGUGUACAUCCACAGUAAUGAACAUGUUGCGUACACACUCAUGUGCUAUGUUCUGCCUAAUUGCAAUUCUGAUUCCCUCCGGGAGACCUAUGAACAUCAGUUGUGGUCUCCGCGGCGCCCGUGUGCGUUCGGAAGCUUCUGCUGCUGGACGAUGAGUCGCGCCGGGAGCUGCCGGCCGGUGCCAGAGCCUCCGCAGCUGCGGCACCGCUUGCGGCCGGAGCCGGAGCACGUCCCGCAGCCGACGUCGCCGUCGGACCAACGGCUGCAGAGGCACUCCUCCCGGCCGGUGCCGCGGCACGUGGAGCAACGGGGCCGUGCGUCCCACCUGGACGCCGCCGGCAGCCCGUCGCCCGUCGUCCGGUUCGCCGUCGCCACGCCCGCCAGCAUCCCGAGCCCCGCCGCCGCGAUCACCAUGGGCGCCACCAUCUUCACAGAAGAACCAAUCCAAGAACCUUUCUUGCCGUAUACACUUGCCUGGUGCUCGUAAGAGUGGAAGAAAAGAUUUGGAUGGGUGCCUGUGGACGGGGUGCGUCGGUUGAUUUUAUAGGACUUUUUCGGGUGGUGGGCGCUGGGCUCGUUUAGUCUGGCAGCUUGGAGGGUAGCCGAGGCGCGGAAGGGAUGGAGUGUCGCCUAUACUCUGCUCAGCGAUUCUGUUUCGGUUUCGUGCGUGCGUACUGCAAGCCAUGGCUACUUGCUGGCUGCUGCACGUGGAUUUACGUGCUCCUUUGCCGUCUCCACGCUACGGGACGAAUUCGCAGCUAGGCACAGGGUUUGUCCUCUGCAUUCUUAUGAAUUCCGUUAACGAUUACUCCUAGUUGCAACAUACUGUUUGGUAUACGUCGCGGACAGGAUGGAAGCGCGUAUGCAUGUCUCAACCGUCGACCAAAACCUCACUAACAGCCAAACUAUAGCACAAACGCCACGCCGCCGCGGCAUCCUAAAUUCCCCAAGUGCUAUAUUUUUCGCUGUCGUAUAUGCAUUGAGCUGUAAUGGGGUCAUUGCUUACUGGGUUCCUUCCCGCGUUGAUUUAAUGGGUACCGCUAGGGAUCAUCCCUUGCUAUUGUAGUUUUCUGCAGGAAAGGCUUUGCCUAAGCUUGUAGGUAUAGUACCAUUGAACCAAUGAAAUCAAAAGGUUCUAAAUAUAUUUUCUGAUUGCAGUGAGUUGCAUGUUAAGAUGAAAGUUCUUAUUUACUGUUUUCACAGUAAAAACUCUUUCAUAAUUUUCCCCAAUAUAUGCAGACGAUUUAUGCAUCCUUGUAUAAUGCAGAAAGCCAGAGUAGCAAAGAUUUCUGUCGUAUUCAAUAUUUCAGAAUGUAUUCUAUCUGGCACUUGAUUUUAACAUGCUAUGCGAUUUCCCCGCAAAAAAGAACAUGCUAUAUGGUUCAGGUGGCAUCAUAUUUUGUCAUUCGCUUAAUCAUACUGAUCUGGUGUUCAAAUAAACAAAGUUUAUAGCACACGGUAUAUGAUCAUUCGGAUGCUUGAAAGUGUACGGUGUAUGUGAAAUAUCUGUAUGAAAUUGUGCAAUGUAUGAAUUCCGCAAUGUGUAAGGAAUCUAUAUUGUGAAAUGUGCUCAUGUAUUAGCAGAAGAAUUGUAGAACAUUUGUUGCUCUUGUGUAUGCUUAUGGUUUCUGGUUAAAAAUAGCAUGUCCGCAUAUUUUGAAAUGUUGAUUUAAUUAUAAAAGGUCUUCGGGUUUUUAUUAAAAUACUAAUGUGAUUUUGAAAGGUGUUCACACAAUUAAAAGGAUCAUAUAGCUAAGAAAAGCAUUUACGUAUUUUUUAAAAUGUUUACUCAUUUGUUUUAAAUAUGUAAUUUCAAAAAUUGUUCUCACAUUCUAAAAAGCGAAAAAAAAUUGUUUUUGCAUAUUUUCCUCAUGCCACUCUAGCUUUUGACAUUUCACUUUUGCAACUCUUAGUUUUUUGACAAUACAUCACAAUUGCCAUUUCAUGGCAAAAGCAAAAAAAAUCAGAGUGGUAAUUAUGAUACAAUAUCAAAAGGUAAGAGUGGCAAAAGUGAAAUCAAAUUAUUUUGCUUUCGCCAUAGAAUGGCAAUUGUGAUACAUUAUCAAAAUCUAAGGGUGGCAAAAGUGAAACGUCAAAUUUAAAAUGGCAAUUGUGAUACAUUAUCAUGCCAUUAUAAGAAAAAUAUUUUAAAAAGAAAGUAGAAAAAACUUAAUACGGUGAAAACGAAAAAAAAGAAACAUGGAAAACCGGGUAAAUACAAUCUAGGAAAAACCAAAGACUACUUUUUAGGGGAUCACACGGUCAUUUUAUUGCUCUAUGGAAAGGGGUACAGUAAAGGGAUCCCAUGGCCGAAGAAGCCACAAGAAACGACCAUGUUGGAGGGACACAUCACUCUUUAGAAGAUUGUGAGUAGGAACCAGAGACAACUAAUACCUUCAGAUAAAAAAAGGAAGUAAAAACGACUGCUACUAGGCCACGGCCAAGCCGGAAACACUAGAGGAGAGUGUGGUGUAUGUUUCACAAUAAGCUAGAUAUAGCCUUUGCGCGAUAACAUGGUGGUCAUGCUAAAUACUGCACACACACACACACUCCUUUGAGUCGAAGGAAUUCUGUAGGGAAUUUUGUAGGAUUUGAACCCUUAGGAAUUUUUCCUAUGGUGGCAAUCCCUAGGUACUUUUCUACAUGACUCAUCUGAGCUCCAUUUUGAAGGAAAAUUUUUGUCCACUCAAGUAUCUUAGUAGAAUUCUAUUGUUAAUCAAUGGGCAAAUCAACUUAAUUAAUUGAGGUUAUCAUGGCGUUUCAGUCCAUGCAUAGCCCGAGGCAACGCCUUUGUGAGUUGGCAAUGCACUGGAACCAGUGCGGUCAAAAUUCACGGUGCAACACGCAAUCAAUCUGGUUGUGAUGCUCUACAUGAUUCUGUUGCCAUGUGUUGUUUUGCCCACGUCGUGUGGGCCUAGCCCGGGCGACAGGGGGCUGCAUGCUGGCCCCCGACUUUCGGUCCCGUGAAGACGAAGGUCCCAUGGAUCUAUCUCAUGUGGGCCACGACAUCCCUACCAACCGGCGAGUAUGGGCUAGCUGGUCGUAAACUACAAAUCCAUGCCCCCCCAGGUGGCAUGCAAAUCUUCGUAAAAAAACUGAGGCUGGGGAAGCAUAUCUUCAGCAUGGGCGUGGUUGUCUCACUACCACAGGUAGUUCGAGAAUGGUCGUGCCCCGGCGAGCUACGACAUCCGGGAGUUAUCCAUACAAUUUCUCCGCCUCUUGGCAACGUGGCGGGACGGCAAAGAAGACACGUGGCAUCCAACUGUGCUUCCUAUGAGCUGACCCAUUUGGUCAGUUUGCCUACAAUGGCAGACGGCAAAGAGUAAACGAGUUUGCCGUCAGCGGCGGACGGCAAAGGCCUGCCAUGUAGUGACGUCUAGAUGACAUCAUACGGCGGACGGCAAAGACAGUAGAAAGUUUGCCGUCCGCUGGCAGACGGCAAAGGCACUAGAAAGUUUGCCGUCCGCGACGGACGGCAAAGGCCUGCCGUUAGCCACUUAAUGGACUGAGAGCACAAUUAUUGCCGUCCGCGGCAGACGGCAAAGGGCCUUUGCCGUCAGCCGCCAGGAAGCAGACGGCAAAGUAGCUGUUUACCGUAGCCUACUUUGCCGGAGCCUUUUGCCGUCCGCGGCUGACGGCAAAAGCCUUUGCCGUCCGCCGUUCAUGCCUUUGCCGUCCGCCAUGGCAGACGGCAAAAUAGCUGAUUCCUGUAGUGUAAUUGAGGUUAUCAUGGCGUUUCAGUCCAUGCAUAGCCCGAGGCAACGCCUUUGUGAGUUGGCAAUGCACUGGAACCAGUGCGGUCAAAAUUCACGGUGCAACACGCAAUCAAUUUGGUUGUGAUGCUCUACAUGAUUCUGUUGCCAUGUGUUCUUUUGCCCACGUCGUGUGGGCCUAGCCCGGGCGACAGGGGGCUGCAUGCUAGCCCCCGACUUUCGGUCCCGUGAAGACGAAGGUCCCAUGGAUCUAUCUCAUGUGGGCCACGACAUCCCUACCAACGGGCGAGUAUGGGCUAGCUGGUCGUAAACUACAAAUCCAUGCCCUCCCCCCAGGUGGCAUGCAAAUCUUCGUAAAAAAACUGAGGCUGGGGAAGCAUAUCUUUAGCAUGGGCGUGGUUGUCUCACUACCACAGGUAGUUCGAGAAUGGUCGUGCCCCGGCGAGCUACGACAUCCGGGAGUUAUCCAUACAAUUUCUCCGCCUCUUGGCAACGUGGCGGUAUGAAGAUCUUUGUGAAGACGCUCGCUGGCAAGACCAUCACCCUUAAGGAAAAUCCCUUCAACACUAUCGACAACGUCAAGGCCAAGAGCUCCGCGGGGAUGGGUUCCCUCAUGGGAACCCCCAUUCUGUCAUCUACCUCUCGCGGACAACCCAGCCCCGCCAACAACUAGUUAUUGUCGAGCACGACGAUGGGACAAGUUGAAGGCUAUAGUUGCCUAGGCCUGCCCUAACCAGGCGUAGCACAGCGCGAGUUGGCGGGCACGCACUGCCUCUCUUGGAGGGAAAGUCACGUGCACAAUGGCGCCCUACGUGCUUUCAACUACAUGCAUGCCACUUGUUGGCGCACGCUACAGUGGUGGGCUCUAAGUCAACAAGGCGGCCCCGAUGGGACGUGUAUAUGCUCCCGGCAAUGCAGUUCGGCGCCACAUGUUACACGCAGUUAAUAUGACAGAUGCUCCACUAUACAACCACCCCAUUUACUACUUUGUAGCUAUGUGGCAAUCCCAUGCCACUAUAAAAGGAGGUCCAAGCUACCUAGUUCAUAGCUAGACCCUUUGAAGGUUGGACACUAGAUAGGUUAGGCACUCUGCUAGUCUACGCCCACGACUCCAAGCACGUUUCCUAGUCCCAGCAAGCCCUGACCAGGGAAAACAUCGCUUGUAACCAGUUGUUCAUCGCAUCCAGUGAGAAUAUCAUAGUAGGACAUAGGGUAUGAUGCUUCACGGCAGCCUGAACUUGGGUAAAAUCACCAUGUCGUAGUGGUAGGAUGCGUGCAUCUCUUUGCCCCUGGCUGAACCAAAAAAGAAAAAAACUUUGUUUUUGCCACUCUAGUUCUUGCCCACUUUGCUAACGCCACUCUCGAAUUUGACAUCUCACUUUUGCCACUCUCAGGUUUUGACAAUAUUUCGCAAUUGCCAUUUUAUGGAAAAAGCAAAAUUUCUAGAGUGACAACUGUGAUCAUUGUCAAAAGCUAAGAGUGGCAAAAGUGAAAUGAAAAAAAAUGCUUUUGCCACAGAAUGACAUUUGUGAAACAUUGUCAAAGGAUAACAAUGGCAAAAGUGAGAUGUCAAAACCUAGAGUGGUGUUGUGUUUGCACACACGACGGUGAUAAGUUCAAAUACGGAAAACGCAUUUUCUCAAUAGAAAAUGUCUCACAGAUCAAUGAUCAUCCUCAAUUGCCAAAGUAGUGUAUAAAUUAGAGUUCCACAUGACAUGCACAUGAUUUGGACUACAAUGUAUGUUUUAAAACAAGUGGGAAACAUUUAAUAUCAGAAUGUUCUUCAAUACCUCGACUACUCACAAAAUAAGCUUCGUUGACCAGUAAGGGUCUUUUUUUUUGCAAACGGGACACAAAUCUAUUAUAGAUGUUGACCGGAAGUACAAGCAUCCAAAACAUAAUAGAAACUGCAUCGACCUCUGCUCACUGGACCAUUGAAAGACCACUACGGCCGGUAGAGCAAGUCGUCGAGAAGCCAUUGCCACUGCUCCCCUACUAGAGCCGACACAACCUUGUAGACGAUAGCCAGGAAGUCUUUGUGCACGUGCCCCAUAGGACUGUCACCCUAGAGCCGUAGUCGCCACUAUUGAAGCAUUGAAUCAAUUUGCUAUGUUUGACAUCAGAUCUCGUUGUCGUCCACGUAGGACGAGAAACUCUAACCUCGUCUCCCUAAGGAUACGUCAAAAAUCUAUGUCAGAACUUCUCUGACUUCGUCCCAGAGGUGAAGUCGAGGACGAUCAGAGCCUGAAAGACCAGAUUUGCCUGAGUGUCACCCUUACGGGGACUAAAAAACCCUAACGCAAACUACUAGCCAGAGCCGAGGCACCGGGAUCUCCCCUGUCAAUGAGCGUCAAAGCAGCAGGCAGGGGAGGCGAAUCCAUAGACCUCAUUGACAGAUUUCCNNNNNNNNNNNNNNNNNNNNNNNNNNNNNNNNNNNNNNNNNNNNNNNNNNNNNNNNNNNNNNNNNNNNNNNNNNNNNNNNNNNNNNNNNNNNNNNNNNNNNNNNNNNNNNNNNNNNNNNNNNNNNNNNNNNNNNNNNNNNNNNNNNNNNNNNNNNNNNNNNNNNNNNNNNNNNNNNNNNNNNNNNNNNNNNNNNNNNNNNNNNNNNNNNNNNNNNNNNNNNNNNACAACCGCUUCAGUUACUAGAUCUAUACCUCAGGAGUUGCGAGUACUUGAGCACUAAUGUUAAGGCUCUCUUUGAUGCGCAAGAUUCAAAUAAAAAAUUAUAUGACUAAAGUGUCAUGUCCUUUUGAAUCCUAUUGAAUUAAAAAAACUACAUGAAUUUGGAUGAAGGAGCUCUUGAUAGCAUAGGGAAAACGAUGGAAUUCUUAAAAAUGGAUUGAGCGGAUGGAAAUUUUCCUCCAAAAUAGAAUGCAAAUCCAAAGUAAAAAUUCCAAAUAAUUGCAAUCAUGUAACUGCCAACGCAGGAAAGAUCCCUGAGGAUAUAAAUCCUCUAAAAUUUCUAUAAAAUUCCUUUGAAUCAAAGGAGCUCUAAAAAUGUUUUAUGCACAACUAGUACGUCUUGAAGGAGACGUGUACAUCCACAGGAAUGAACAUGUUGCCUGUACACUCAUGCUCAUGUGUUGUGUUCUGCCUAAUUGCACUUCCGAUUUACUCCGGGAAACCGACGAGUAUCAAUCAGUUUUAGUCUCCGCGUCGCCCGGGCGCGGUCGGCAGCUUCUGCUGCUGGGCGAUGAGUCGCACCGGGAGCUGCCGGCCGGUGCCAGAGCCUCCGCAGCUGCGGCACCGCUUGCGGCCGGAGCCGGAGCACGUCCCGCAGCCGACGUCGCCAUCGGACCAACGGCUGCAGAGGCACUCCUCCCGGCCGGUGCCGCUGCAGGUGGAGCAGCGGGGCCGCGCGUCCCACCUGGACGCCGCCGGCAGCCCGUCCCCGGUCGUCCGGUUCGCCAUCGCCACGCCCGCCAGCAUCCCGAGCCCCGCCGACGCGAUCACCAUGGGCGCCACCAUCUUCGCAGAAGAACCAAUCCAAGAACCUCCCUUCUUUUCUUGCUGCGCAGAUUGCUGGCUUGCUACCGGAGACGGACAAGGAACAGCAGGGGAGGGGGACGAGCAGGAGUUGAACUCGUUGGCUUUCUCCUCGCCUGUGGACGUGGAAGUGGAAGAGAAGACAGAAGACUUC
Molecule: long non-coding RNA, 68810 nt
Filed under: Triticum aestivum (bread wheat)
Lineage: Eukaryota; Viridiplantae; Streptophyta; Magnoliopsida; Poales; Poaceae
Description: long non-coding RNA (TAES_LNC013643)
Rfam family: MIR1120/MIR1122 microRNA precursor family (bases 61197-61283)
Source: RNAcentral